UGCUCUCGUGCAGUUGCAAUGUGGAGGAAAUGUGGUUUCUACAUCAACCACCAAUGGAUCAGGGAUGUUUUCUAUUUUGUUGGAUCCUCUAAAUUAUAUUCUUUCCUCGGUAUUGAGCGACUGCAACCUGAAGGUCGAUACACCGCUGAUCAGCUGCAACUCGAGUCUCCCUGCUGUGGGUGGCCUCCUAUCACCCUUACGGUUCAUCGGGAACACUGCUCUAGGAGCCCUCCUGAGUGUGGCAAACAUCAUCCCUGCCGGAUUCCGAUUCGUGCCUUGAAAUUAAGGAGACCACCGUAGCUGAAGGAGACAUUAUUAUUAUUAGUAUGGCCAUUGCUAUGUACUACUUUAUAUGAAUAAGGCUGUUGUAUUAUACGUGUGUACUGUUUAUUGUUUUUUCUUGCUUCCCAAGGAAUAAAGGUCAUGAUUGGCUAUGCAUUAUAUAUAUGUAAUAUUUUAGCGAGUCUAAAUUACGAGGGGCCUUACUAAAAAAAACGUAGCAAGUAAUUUUGAUGCAAAUAAAACUAAAAUUUGUUGCUAAAAACAUUUAGCAACAAAAUUAGCAACAUCGGAAGUAUUAUAUGCAGAUUUGUUUUUGUUGAUUUUAUAAUAGAGGAUUUGUCGGUUGUUGAUUUAUCAGUAAUGAAUAAUCUAUUGCUCACAAAUUAGCAAUGGAUUUUCCGUUGCUAACAAAUUAGAAUAGUCUGUUGCUGGUUUUUUGAAUUAUUUACAAUCAACAACGAAAAAUCCGUAGCUAAUUAUAUGAUUUUUAUUUAAUUAAUAUAUAUAUAUUUUUAUCCAAAUGACUUUUAAUUUUUUAAUUUAUUAUUUAUGGAUAUUUUGAAAGUUGUAGAAUAUAUAUAAGAAACAUAAAUUAAUAUUUAAAAUUACUUUAUCACCAAUAAUAAAUGGAAUAAAAAUAAAAUUCAUAAUAUAAGUAAAAAUUUAGUUAAACUUACACUAAUGCAAAUAAGUCAAAAUACAAUAAAAAGAUACAAUUAUGGUGCUUGUUGUGGAGAUGAACCAUGAUAUUGUGGAUCAACAUAAGAUGAAUUAUGACAUGAUGGUCGAGGUGUAGGUCAAUAUAUUGGUGGAGAUGUGGGAUCCAUAGGUGUCAUUUUAUGGGGAGCCAUAAGUGCUGGCAUACCUUGGCCAAUGUUUGAUGUCCCACCAUGAUAUCCAAGAUUGUUCAUAAGAUAUUCUUUCAUAGAAUCCAUCUGUCGUUUCAUUUCAAAAAUAAAAUCAUCUCUUUUCUUUAUCCCGCUUCUUUUUUCUUUAUCUCCUUUUGCAAUGCUCGAUAAGAUGAAUUAGGAUAUUGUGACUUCACCGAGUAGGAAUGUGAUGAAGAACUUGUAAUCACUAUAGAUUUUGGCAUACGAGGUGCACUAUAUACCCUACCCUUUGUAACUCCUCCUGAAGCCACACACCAAGCUGCUCCAUCAAAUGAAGAAUGAUUUUUCCUAUUAGUUCCGUACUUUGAAAUCAUCUCCUUCUUAUCAUUUUCCUUAAAAAUAAAAUACAUACAAUAAUAAAUUCAUUUGAAUGUUAAAUAGUAUUUAAGUUAUAUAAAUAAAUAAAUAAAAAUACAUACAAUCACUUUCUUAGACUUGCUAUUUACAAAGAUUCUAAACUGCUUAGUACUUUGAUGCAAAGCUGAAACGACAUCAUCUCAUGAAGGUUUUUUUUCUACCAACUUGCUUUUGCUAGGAAUUAUGAAAGAACAUGUCCAUCAUGAACUCUCAUAAGUCUCUCAUCAUUUUGACAAUAUCUUGCAUUGGACUGUGUAAUUCAACACCUUCGAUGCGGACCUGGAUUUCGGGUAGAAAUCAUGAUGCUAUUUUAUGACAUGGAAAACAAAAUUAGGGUAUUUUUUUAAACCUUUAUGAACUCUCACAACUCUCACAAGGCUCUCACCAUUUUGACGAUCUUUUGUAAUGGACUGUGUAAUUCAACACCUUCAAUUCAGACCUGGAUUUUAGCUAGAAAUCUUGACGCUAUUUUAUGAUAUGGAAAACAAAAUUAUGUUUUAAUUAUAUAUAUAUGGGUCCCUGCAUUCUUCAUUAUGUUUAAAAACUUCCCCAUCCCUUUUUACCUCACUUUUUUCUAGUUUUGAUCAAGGUUGUCAAUUUCGUUCUGUUUUGUUUGGAAUCACCGAAACAUUUCAUAUCUAUUAAAAAACAUAACAAAACAGAACAAGUUUCAUCUUAUUUUAAAUCUCGGUCCAUUCCGGAGUUUUUGACUAAAUUUUGACUGGAAUGUUCCGGUUUCAUUCCACAUAUUUCAUUCCGGUCUUGAAAAGCCAUUGAAUCAAAUUGAAUCUGGUUCAAUUUAAUUAAUUAAACCACCCAAGUAUAAAAAGCUUUUUUUAAUUACUAUUUUCAAUAACAAUGAUAUUAAUAAUAAUAUUGAAAAUUAUUAUUACUAUUUUCAUUAACAAUGAUAAUAAAUUUUUAAAAUUAGAUUUAUCACUAAUAUAUAUGGUUUAUUUUCAUGUUUUUUUUUCAUGUUUAUACUUUGGAGAAAUUUGAGCAAAACAAGGGAUGCUUUAGAUCCCAUUAGCCUCGAUAACGUUGAACUACUUUAUAUGUAAAAUAUUGGUAUUAAAACAUUUUACUUUCAUAAUAUUUUGAUAUUUUGUUUAAGUUAGUUGAGAAUAAUGGAAUGUGUUGGGUUGUGCCUUAGCCAACCCUCCUAUUUAUAUAGAGGCAGCAGAACACUGCAGUAACUAUAAUGAUUACAACAUCCUAUAUUACUUUCCUAUCCUGAUAGAUACAUGAGUAACUGUAAUGAUAACAACAUCCUAUAUUAAUUUCCUAUUCUACAAUAUGCCCCCUCAAGUUGAGGGUGGGGGAUCAACUCGAAGCUUGAACCGAAAAGAAGUAAAGGAUGCAACAGGAAGCGGUUUAGUGAAGACAUCGGGCAAGUUGAUCCCGAGAGGGAACAAAAUGAAUCUGAAUUUCUUUCUUGGCAACACGGUCACGGACAAAGUGAUAAUCCACUUCAACAUGCUUUGUACGGGUAUGGAAGAUAGGAUUUGCUGAGAGAUAGGUAGCACCAAGAUUAUCACACCAAAUGAUAGGAGCAGAGACUGAGGGAACCUGCAAAUCUGUUAACAAGUAUUGAAGCCAAAUGACUUCAGUGGUACCAUCAUCAAGGGCUUUAUACUCAGCCUCAGUAGAGGAGUGAGCAAUAGUGCGUUGCUUGCCGGAUUUCCAAGAAAUCGGCGUCUGACCAAAAAAGACAAGAUAGCCGCCCGUAAACUUGCGAUCAUCAAUACUACCAGCCCAAUCUGUAUCUAUAAAGCCAUGUAGAGCAAAAGAGGAGCCUUGAGUGAUAUGGAAACCAUAAGAUGUCGUACCUUUAAGAUAGCGUAAAAUACGUUUGACAGCGGCCCAAUGAGAAUAUGUAAGAGCAUGCAUAAACUGACAGACUCUGUUAACAACAAAGCAUAUAUCUGGACGGGUGAAGGUAAGAUAUUGAAGAGCACCCACGAUUUGAUGAAAUCGUGCAGGAUCAGAGAAUGGAUGAUCCGAUAAUAAAAUGACUUUCGAAGGGGAGACUGAAGUAUCAACUGGUUUGCAGGAAGUCAUACCAGCUCGGGUGAGGAUGUCAAGAAUAUAUUUAUGUUGAUGCAGCAUUAAACCCAUACCGGUAGACUGAACUUCAAUACCUAGAAAGUAGUGAACAACACCUAAGUCACGAAGCUUGAACUCAGAGCUGAGUAACUGUAUAAGGUGAUGGAGCAUAACAGAGUUGCUACCCGUGAGCAGAAUAUCAUCAACAUACACCAGGAGAUAAAAGAUAUUGGUACCAUCAGAUAAGAUAAACAGGGAGGUGUCAACCUUGGAAGCUUGGAAAUCGACGGAGAGCAAAAAAUCACUUAGACGAGUGUACCAUGCUCUCGGUGCCUAUUUCAAACCGUACAAUGAUUUGUGCAAUCUGCACACAUGAGAUUGAAGAGAAGAGUCAACGAAACCUGGAGGCUGUUUCAUGUAGACCUCUUCAGUAAGAACACCAUUGAGGAAGGCAUUAUGAAUAUCAAGCUGAUGAAUCUUCCAAUUUCGCGAAACCGCGAUAGAGAAAACUAAUCGUACAGUGGCCUGCUUAAUAACUGGACUAAAGGUUUCAGAAUAAUCAAUACCUUCCUGCUGGGUAAAACCUCUAGCAACAAAGCACGCUUUAUAGCCCUCAAUACUACCAUCAACACGAUGUUUGAUCCGAUAUACCCAUCUACUGCCAACAACAUUCAUCGAAGGAUAAAAUGGAACCAAAGACCAAGUGUGAUUUUCGCGUAAAGCGGCGAUCUCAUUACACAUAGCAUUAUGCCAAACUGCAUACCGGUCAGCAUCAGAGAAUGAAAAAGGCUCAGAAGAGGGAGAAUACAGUACCCGUGGAGGUAGAAGUAGUGGCAGCGGAAGCAACCAGAUUAGCUGUCUUCGGCUGCCGCGGUCUAAGAGUCAUAAGAUGUCUGUUGUGUGCUUGUGGAGACGCAGGGGAAGAUGGUUGUAGUGAGGAGACCUGUGGCAGCUGAUAAAAAGACAAAUCAACCAUAAGUUGCAGACCAGCGGGAGAUGAUGAUAAAGAAGCAGCCUCAAGCACAGGACUGUCAGUAGAGGAGGGGCUGAAAGCAGAGUUUAAAGUUGCAGGAGUGCUGGCUAGGGAGGGCGAAGUAGAGGAGGGACUAGAAAGUGCCCCAAGACCAUGAGGAGAGGAGACCAAUUGACGAUCUGAACCUGCAUCAUAAGGGUUAGAUAAACAAGCAUGGGAUGAUGGCCAAGGGAUGGGUGGAGGCUGUGGUCGGGUGGCUGUUUGGAGUGGUAGAGCGGAGUGUUGUGGGCUGUUUGGGUGGCUAGUGAAAGUGGGUGGCGGUGGGUGGUUUAGCAAAUUUGGGAGGGUGACAGUAGCGGGUGGGGUGGGGGUUGUGGUGGAGACCUUUGCAAUCUGUUCAGAAUUAUCAAAUGGAAACACAUGUUCAUGGAAGCGGACAUGGCGAGAAAUAUAAAUACAAUGAGAUGCAAUGUCAAGACAUCGAUAAAUAAUAUGCGAGGAACUAUAUCCAAAAAACACACAUGGAGAGGAAUGAAAAUCCAAUUUAUGAUUAUUAUAUGGAUGCAGAAAAGGAAAACAGAGACACCCAAAGGUACGCAAAAAAUGAUAAUCAGGAGACCGUUGAAAUAAACAAUCAAACGGAGAGCGAUGGGCAAGAACAGAAGUAGGCAUGCGAUUUAUAAGAUAAACAGAGGUUUCAAAAGCAUAAUUCCAGAAUCGAAAAGGUGUUUUACAUUGCCCUAAAAGAGUAAGACCUGUCUUAUGACGACGCUCUACUGUUCCAUUUUGUUCAUGAGUGUGGGGAUAAAUCAGACGAUGAUGAAUACCAAUGGUCUGAAAAAAAUAUGGAUAGUUUUUGGUAUUCACCGCCCCAAUCAGUUUGAACAUAUUUUAAACUUUAAUGAAAAUUGACGUUCGACAAGAGUUUGAAAUUGAUGAAAAACAGAGUAAACAUCAGACUUGGCAACGAGAGGAUAAUACCAUAUAUAUUUAGUAUAAGCACAACAAAGAUAACAAAAUAACAAUAGCCAUCUGAAGAAAAAAGAGGAGCAAGGCCCCAUACAUCAUUAAAAAUUAAUUCAAGUGGAGCAGAAGUUUUGUGACAUGUAGGUCCUAAAGACAAACGCGAUGAUUUUCCUAAAGGACAACUUUGACAUUGAAAAUUAAGACGUUUGUUGUUACAAAUGAUCUUAUUUUUCGAGAUUAACAAUUGAAAAAUACGUGAAGUAGGAUGACCUAGUCGACGAUGCCAUAAAUCGGUAGAGGCAGAAGUGCAGGGAGACCAAUAGGCUUGAGGAACUAACGUGAUGGAAGACUUGGUCAGGGUAUAGAGACCAUCUUUACUCUGACCUGAGAGAAGGACUUCAUGGGUGUUGAAAUCCUUGACAUAAAACACACGAGGGUGAAAUUCAAAAUAAACAUUAUUAUCAAGAUAAAAUUUCUGAACAGAGAGCAGAGGUUUUGUGAUUGCAGGAACAUGAAGAACAUUAGAUAAGGUGAAAGAACGAUGUGGUGUAUAUAUUUUUGUAUGACCAAGAUGAGAUAUAGGAAGGCCCUUACCAUCACCAACAUGCAAAUUAUCAUUACCAAGAUACGGUUCUGAAGCGGUCAAGGUGGCAAGAUCAGGUGUGACGUGUUGAUUGGCACCGGUAUCUGGAAACCAAUCAACAGAACCGGUUGAGGAGAGAUUGCGCUGCACCAGGUUGGCAGUAGGUUGUUGGCCAUAACCUCGCUGCUGGAAUUGAGGGCAAUGGGGAGCUGUAUGGCCGAAAUUCUGACAUAGUUGGCAGCGUGGAUUCUGCCCCUAUUGCGCUGCAAGAGCCCUGCCUAUUGUCACGAAGGAGGAGUUUUGGAAGCUGCGGUGAUCAGGUCUGGAGCCAGCAAAUCGGUUGCCUGCUGUUGGACUGGUUGACGCCAGCCACCGUUGAAGCGGCCCCUGCUGCGGCCAGAAUUGCCAAAAGUCUGGCGCUGCGCAACAAGAGCAGAAGAUGGAAUGCUGGGUGUGGGCAGCAGAGGAGCAUGUAUGGCAGCAAGAUUUGUGAAGAAAUUCAUGUGUGAGGAGAUGGCUGUGAAGAUCUGCAUAUGAUAAAGGUUCAGCCUUGGUAAUAAGACUGGUAACUAAGUCUUUAAACUCUCCCCGAAGACCACGAAACACAUAUAAAUUGAAAUCUUCAAGCGAAACUGGCCGACCACAGCGACCAAUUCAUCAAAUAAGGCCUUCGCUUUUUGCAUAAAUUGAGUUACUGAUUCAUCACCCUGUCGAAGAUCCUGAAGAGAGCCGUGAAGUUGCAUAAUACGAGAGUUGGAGGUGGAAGCGAGAGCUCGCUCAAGAGUGCCCCAAGCUGAACAAGAACUUUGACAGCCAACAACAAGAUGCAAAACUUCUAAUAGAUAGGGAGGAAAGAAGAGCACUUAGAAUGAGUUGGUCCUGCUGUUUCCAGGUUUGAAAAAGCGGAUUUACCUAAAGAGAGAUACCAUCAUGGGCAAGAACAUGUGUUGAUGGACAUGUGUUGGAGCCAUCAACAAAACCAAAAACUCAUUCGCCUAAGAGAUAAGACAACAUCUGCAUACGCCAAUAUAAAUAAUUGGUGUUUGUUAAUUUGAGGGAGAUGACUUAAUCAGUGUGAGAAAGGGAGAUAAUGCUUGCGGCAGUAGAGGCAGCAGACAUGGGCUGCAAGAGGAGGCGUUCACCAGCCAUGGCAGAGGAGAAUCCAGGCGGUGACGCAGUAAAGGAGGCACUGCAAGAGAAGAGGGAUGCACUGCCGGAGAAGAAGAAAACUGGACUGCUGGUGCUGCAUAAUUUGAAGAUGUAUGUGGCGGCUGUUCCAUUGAAGAAGGGAGGCUGAGAGGCUGUGAGAAAAGUAGGUUUAAUUUAUUUUAGGGUUUUGUGGCUCUGAUACCAAGUUGAGAAUAAUGGAAUGUGUUGGGUUGUGCCUUACCAACCUUCCUAUUUAUAUAGAGGCAGCAGAACACUGUAGUAACUGUAAUGAUUACAACAUCCUAUAUUACUUUCCUAUUCUGAUAGAUACAUGAGUAACUGUAAUGAUAACAACAUCCUAUAUUAAUUCCCUAUUCUACAAUAAAGUUAAAUUACUUUAAGUUAAAGAUCUAUUUAAUUUUGAUUAUUUAAAAAAAAUUUAAAAUUUAAAAUUAUAUUUGUUUGACAUUGUGUUUGUAUUGCAUAAUUUAUAAUUAAUUUAUCUUGAAUUUGAAUUAUGUUUGUUGAAUAUAUAUAUAUAUAUAUAUGAACAGUGUAACUCUGAAACGACACGCCGAAACAUUCCAUUCCAAUUAAAAAAAAAAACAAAACACCUAUCAAAACGGAAUUGAAAACCUUGGUUUUGAUUGUAUUUCCAAUUCAAAUAGUAAUUUAUUUGUAUGAAAAGGACUUUUUUUGCUAUCAUUUCUUCUUCUUCUGCGUUCCAUUAUUAUUUAUUUCAAUUUUUAUAAUUUUUAUUGUACAAUUCAAAUUUUGUUAGUGUUCUAAUGUUGUAGACUUAACGAUAAUAUUUAACAUUGUUAACAUGUAAUGAAGAUAAAAAUCAAACCUGCAAAGAUUAAAAUUAGUGCAAAACCAGGUAGAAUAUUUUAAACACAAAACCAGGAACAUGUAACUUAAAUGAACAAUUAAUAGUUGGAAUACCUGAAUUUGAAUCCCUUGUCCUAAAACAUAUAAAAAAAAAUAGCAAGUGGAAUUAGGGAUAUUAAUAGAUAAUGAGGAGGGUUUUAUAUUUGGGAUGACAAUUUAAUCCGAACUCGAUAGAUACCAACCUGAUUUGAAUGAAUGAAUAUACCAACCAGGGUUUUAUAUUUUUGGACUUGAUGGAUAAUGAAUAGGGUAUGGAUGUUAUGAAACACGACCAGAAACCUGUCCAAACCUAAUGUGGAAUAUAUUUUUAUAUUAUAUAAAUAUAUUUUUAAAAUAUUUAGAUUUUUUAAUACAAUAUGAUACAUACAUAUCUUGGUAUUGACAUAAUACACACUUACAUAUAAACUUUUUUAUUUUUUAUUGAUUAAUAAAUAAUAGUAGAUAGUAGAUGAUUAUUUGAUACCUGAAACUCGAUGGAUAAUGAGUAGAGUAUGGAUAUCAAGAAAUCCAACCCGCGAGUACAUUUUGGCAUCCCUGUUUUAUACCAUCUGUACCCGAAUCCAAAUCUAAAAUAACUAGUCGAGUCUGAACGGGUAUGGAUUUUUUAUACACGAACUUGAAUGCUAUAUUUUACAGCUAUUUAGUACAUAAUUAGCUUGCUAUACAUAUAAUUUUCUCAAACUUUAAUAUUAUUUAUUGAUUUCAGGGCAGGUUCGGGUAGACCAAUAUCAUACUAUACUUGGACCUGACUUUUUGCAUUUGAAUUUUACUCGAAACUCAAUUGAGUCUAAAAAAUUUCUAUUUGAAUCGAUUCGAGUUAGUAUCCAUAGGUAAAACUGUCAUCAUAAGUAUAAUCCAAAUACCAUAAUCUUUGGCAAUGAUAUGCUUUGCUAUUAGUUCUACCAUGACAACUAACAAAACUAUCACACACAACAAAAAAAAGCUAUGAAAUUAUGUUAAAGAGCCAUUUCAACCCAAUAACUUAAGUUGUUAUGUAAGGUUUCAAGAUAUAAUUUAUAUUAUUUUAUAAUAAAUCUGAUAUUAUUUACGUUUAAGGGAAUCUUAAUGCCCUCACUGAGAAGCUAAGCAGAGGCGAGAACCGGGCGACAGAAAGAGUUGGAAGAAAAAAGGCUAUAAGCUAGAUGCUAGAGCCUGGAGCUAUGGACCGAUCUACGAACUUUUCAGAGGAAGUGGAGACGAACAAUUCUAUCGGAGAACCCCCAAGUUUCAGCUACGCAGAGCAAGUUGUUGUUUGGAGCCCCUUCUACUUUAUAAAUUCUGAAGAGGCAAGAAAAAGAAGACUUUCAUCUUUUUUCGAGAGACAGAAGGCAUGCUAAUGAAACUAGGGGUGGGGGAGUUUUGUAGGUGAAGACCACAGAUGAAGCACACACGGGGAAGGAAGAAUUAGAGCUUCGUGACAAACCUAAGAUUUUUGAAUUGUUCUCUUUGUUUUCAUGCUCAUGCAGCAGAUUAUCCUACGUAAACUCACCAUCACCACAAACAAGGAAGAGAUAAGAGAGCUGUUAGUCAGCAAAAUCUGCUGCAACUUGGUCUCCCUUGUUCUAUAAAUGGCUGCUGAUGUCGAGACUCAAAAAUCACUUCAAUUUCAAGAUCAAGAUUGAUUUCAUACACUAAUUCUUGCAUUAAUAUCACUACUGCCAUUGAGACCAUGGCCUUCAAGACAUUUCUCUUUGUUUCUCUCGUGAUUGCUGCAAUAUUGGCAGCCCCAGUUGCUGAAGCUCAGCUUGGGCUUAUUGGCGGUCUUCUGGGUUUGAUCCGCAUCCAAGGGACUCUAUUUUGCACUGCCGAUGGCAAUAUUGGUGCUAAUGGCACAGCAACCCCUGUUUUCCCUAGUAUGCUUGCCCUGAUUCCUCUUCCUUUUCUUUUUUCUUUUCUUUUGAUCGAUAGUAAAGUAUCCUCGGACCAGAUUGUCAUGAUUACAUAGUUACCAUUCAUCACAUACGACAUCGUCGAAUGCAAUUUGACUUUGUUCUUCUUGUUAUCUUGCUUAUAAAGUUGUAAUUACAGUAACGGGUUUUUUCUUGCAGAUGCUCUCGUGCAGUUGCAAUGUGGAGGAAAUGUGGUUUCUACAUCAACCACCAAUGGAUCUGGGAUGUUUUCUAUUUUGUUGGAUCCUCUAAAUUAUAUUCUUUCCUCGGUAUUGAGCGACUGCAACCUGAAGGUCGAUACACCGCUGAUCAGCUGCAACUCCAGUCUCCCUGCUGUGGGUGGCCUCCUAUCACCCUUACAGUUCAUCGGGAACACUGCUCUAGGAGCCCUCCUGAGUGUUGCAAACAUCAUCCCUGCCGGAUUCCGAUUCGUGCCUUUAAAUUAAGGAGACCACUGUAGCUGAAGGCGGCAUUAUUAUUAUUAGUAUGGCCAUUGCUAUGUACUACUUUAUAUGAAUAAGGCCGUUGUAAUAAAGGAAUAAAGGUCAUGAUUGGCCAUGCAUAAUCUACAUGUAAUAUAUUAGCGAGUCUAUAUUGUGAUGGGCCUUACUAAAAAAAUAUAGUAAUUCGAUGCAAAUAAAACUAAAACUUGUUGCUAAAAACAUUUAGCAACAUAAUUAGCAUCACAUGAAGUAUUAUAUGCAGACUUGUUGUUGGUGAUUUUUCAGGAAUGAAUUUGUCCGUUGUUGAUUUAUCAACAAUGAAUUAUGUGUUGCUCACAAAUUAGCAAUGGAUUUUCCGUUGCUAAUAAAUCAGAAGAAUCUGUUGCUGGUUGAUUAGUACUUAAAAGUAUAUUUUUAUCAAGGUUUUAUAUCAUCAUUUUGCACUAGAAAUAUCAAUAACUCUUUAACUAAACCAUGUUUUAUAAUAAUAAUAUAAGAUACCUUUAAUUUAUGGUAAAUGUUCAUCUUAAAUGCAGACCUAUCACAUAAAUGAAAGGAUUGAUUGAUGAGUUUAAGUAUUGAAAUUGAAAGGACAAAGAGAGGGCCAAACUUAGAAAAGAGAUGUUGGUGCCGUCCAAACUGGAACACUGUUCGAUAUUUAGCCCAUAUCUCGAGUUCUAGAAGUCCAAAUGACCUCAAUUUGUUUCCUGGUAGAUAAGACAAUUUCUUAGAACUUUCAUGGGUACAGGUGGUUCUAGUUCUAAUGUUAGCAAUGACGUUUUAUUCAGACAAGAAGAUAAAGAUUUUCACCAAGUCAAGAGUUGGCCACCCACUCAACAAUUAGUAAUCAAAUCAAUAGUUUCAAAUUUUGGCCUAUAAAAGGAGGCAUUUGCCAUGCAUUUAGGUAUCUUGGUGUUCAUAUCAAGAUCAUGCUCUUGCUCUUUUUUUUUUUUUUUGUAUUUUGUAAUGUUUAAGUUUUAUUUUAUGUUAUAUUAAUCUCUUGUUUAUGCUUUUCCUUUCCUUUCCUUUACUUAUAUAAUUUUAUUCUUAUCUUGUUUAUUUAUGUUUCUUUCUUUCAAUAUAUUUAUCUAAAUCUAUUAUGUCAAGGUGAAAAGGUUACACUAAUAGUGUAAGAAUAAGUAUAGUAUAAAUUCAACAUGCACUUUAAUGCUAGAUACUAAUAUGUUUUAUAUUUAUUAUCUUGCUUACUCUUAAUACCUUACUUGUUAAAUGGUUAAUCUAGAUUUGUGUUGAACAACCCUUGGUACAACAAAUGCUUGGCACUUUCAUAGCCCAAUCAUAUGGUAUAACCUACACGUGUGCUAUGAAAGAAUUAGAAUUAAUUGAGAGAUAGUUUUGUGUUUAAUUGUGUUGGAUGCAUAAGAGUAGCAGCCAUCCUUUGUAUUUAUACUUGUAGGGUUGUGUACAAUAUAAUGGUGGGAUGUAUUACAUACUAUAACUAUUACUAUGUAGAAGUGUUUACAUUGAAUUCAAACUCUUUCCUUAAUACACCCCGUCAAUCUGAAGGUGGAGAUUCCACCCGAAGCUUGGAUCGAAAAUAAGCAAACGAGACUGGAUCGAGGAAGAGGCUUGGUAAGGACAUCAGCUAGUUGAUCUUUGGAAGAUAUAAACCGUACCUGAAUUUCUCGCUUAGUAACACGAUCACGGACAAAAUGAUAAUCAACUUCAACAUGUUUAGUACGAGCGUGAAAUACUGGAUUUGCAAUAAGAAGGUGGCCCCUAAAUUAUCACACCAUAACGUGGUCACAGUCGAAGAAGGAAUCUGAAGUUCUGUCAAUAAUGAGCGAAUCCACAAAAUCUCAGCAGUACCAUCAGCUAAGGCUUUGUAUUCCGCUUCAAUGGAGGAUCUCGCAACAGUGCAUUGUUUCCCGGAUUUCCAGAGAUAGGGGUAGAGCCAAGGUACACAAGGUAACCACCUGUGGAUUUUCGAUCAUCAAUACUACCUACCCAAUCAGCAUCUGUGAAACCAUGAAGAGACAGAGGAGAAUCCCUAGUGAUGUGCAGGCCAUAAGUUGCUGUAGCCUGGAGGUAACGCAAGAUGCGUUUGACAGCAAACCAAUGAUCCUCAGUGGGGGCAUGCAUAAAUUGACAGACCUUGUUGACCGCAUAACAGAUAUCAGGUCUAGUGAAGGUAAGAUAUUGUAAUGCCCCAACAAUUUAUCGAUACCGUGUGGGAUCAGAGUAGAGAGUACCUGGUAUGAGUCCUAAUUUGGAGGAGGCAGAUAGAGGAGUAUCAACUGGUUUGCAUGAAGUCAUACCUGCUCGUUUGAUGAUAUCGAGAGCAUACUUAUGUUGGCUUAAUAAGAUACCCAUAGCAGUAGGUUUAACUUCAAUGCUUAAGAAGAAAUGAACAGAACCCAGAUCCCGAAGCUUAAAUUCUGAUUGCAGCAAGGUAAUCAAUCUAUGAAGCAUAGCUGAGUUACUUCCGGUUAAUAAGAUAUCAUCAACAUACACAAGCAGGUAAAUCAUGGCACCAUCAUGAGAGAGGAUAAAUAGAGAAGUAUCACCCUUGGAUGCCUGAAAUCCAAUGGAUAGUAAGAACUCACUCAACCUGUUGUACCAAGCACGAGGGGCUUGUUUCAAACCAUACAGAGAUUUAUGGAGACAACACACAUGAGACGGGAGUGCCGGAUCAACAAACCCAGGCGGUUGCGCCAUGUAUACCUCUUCCUGAAGAAUGCCAUUUAGGAAAGCAUUAUGGACAUCCAACUGAUGAAUGGUCCAUCCAUAUGAAACAACGAUAGUGAGCACAAGGCGAACCGUUGUAGGCUUGAUCACUGGACUGAAUGUCUCCAAAUAAUCAAUCCCUUCUUGCUGAGUGAAGCCGCGGGCAACUAACCGUGCCUUAUAUCGGGCAACUUGACCAUCAACAUUUCUUUUUAUCUUGUACACCCAUCUACUGCCAAUCACAUUCAUAGUUGGAUGAAGAGGCACCAACGUCCAAGUCUGAUUAGAGUGAAGUGCCCGAAGUUCCUCCUGCAUGGCAGUGUCCCAAGUAACAUACCUGUUUGAGUCCUUAAAGGACAAUGGCUCCUGCUGAGGUAAGGUCGUGUCUCGUGAGACAGCCGCAAUGCUAAGAUUAGCAUUUCUUUCUGGCCGUGGGCGAAGCACCAUAGGAUGGGUGCGAGCCCGCUGAGAUGGGGAGGAGACAGCGGCAGGGACAUGCUGAAGAUUGAAUUUAGAUAGAUCAACACAUACGUUAAUUCCAGGAGGGGAAAGCGAGGAAGAACCUGUGGGUGAAGAACUCAAUAUAGGAGAAGACCGUGAUGGAGACCCAGCAGAAGAAGUAUCCAUAACAGGGGAGAAACCAUGGAGCUGGCAGCAACAUCGGAUGAUGCUUGUGAGUGUGACGAAUCUGAACCUGCAAUUGAAGAAUGAUCAUAAUAACAUGCAGAUAAUGGUAAAGUAGCCGAAGGAGGUGUAGGCAGUGAUUUAGAGAGUGAGGAGGGUUGCAUGAGAGGAAGUAAAGUGACGGGUAGAGAGGGAGCAGAGGGCUGUUUGGGUGUUGCUGCAAUCUGUUCAAUUUUAUCAAGAGGAAAAACAGUUUCAUGAAACCGGACAUGACGUGCAAGAUAAAUUCGUUUGGAUGACAAAUCAAGACAACGAUAACCGACAUGUGAGGUACUAUAUCCUAGAAAAACACAAGGUGUGGACCAAAAAUCUAAUUUGUGAGCAUUGUAUGGACGAAGAAAAGGAAAGAAGAGACACCCGAAAGUACGAAGAAAUGCACAAUCAGGAGUCGAUUUUAACAGACAUUCAAACGGUGUCUUAUUAUUAAGGACUGGAGUGGGCAUGCGAUUAAUUAAAUAAACAGAACUUUCAAAAGCAUAACUCCAAUAUUUAAGGGGAGCAUGACACUGACCAAGGAGAGUGAGUCCAGUUUCAACAAUAUGUCUAUGACGGCGUUCAACCAUGCCAUUUUGUUCAUAAGUGUGCGGGCAGAUCACACGAUGAUGAAUACCAAUCAUUUUAAAAUAUGUAUUUAGUUUUUGGUAUUCACCACCCCAAUCAGUUUGAACAAACUUAAUUUUUAAGGAGAAUUGGCGCUCCACAAGCGCCUGAAACUGAUGAAAAAUUGCAAGGAACGUCAUACUUAGCAACCAAGGGAUAAAACCAUAUGAAUUUUGUAUGAGCAUCCACAAAAAUAACAAAAUAGCGAAAACCAUCAGAUGAAAACAUAGGGGAUGGACCCCAAACAUCACUAAAAAUCAAGUCAAGAGGAGCUCGAGUUUGAUGACCCGUAGGUUUUAGAGUCAGACGCGAUGACUUGCCUAGAGGGCACGUAGGACACUGAAAAUUAAACUUAGUGGACAUACAUGACACUUUUUUAUUUUUCACUAGCAAAUGCAAAAUACGUGGACUAGGAUGUCCAAGUCAACGAUGCCAGACAUCAGCUGAAGUAGAUAGACAAGUAGAGGAAAAAGCUUGAGGCAACGAUGUUGCGGACGUCGCGGACAAAACAUAUAGACCAUCUUUACUCUGACCGGAAAGAAGAACUGCCUUUGUCAUGAGAUCCUUAACAUAAAAUAGAGAGGAAUGAAAUUCAAAAAACACGUUAUUCUCAAGAAAAAAUUUUUGAACAGAUAUCAGAGGUUUUUUAAUGGUAGGAACAUGUAAGAUAUUGGAUAACGUAAAAAUGCGGUUUGGUGAGCGAAUUUUGGAGUGAGCAAUAUUUGAGAUAACAAGGCCCUUACCAUCACCAACAUGCAGAUGAUCAUUUCCAAGAUAAGGUUCUGAACUCGUCAUACUUACAAGAUCCGGCGUGACAUGAUGAUUUGCACCUGUAUCAGGAAACCAAGUAACAGGAGUGGUGGAAGGGGCAGUAUUAAAUGCAAGAUUAGCAUUAGCUUGCAUAUGAUGAGUAGCCAACUGAGAACACUGUUGAGCAGUAUGCCCAUAUUCAUAACAUAGCUGACAUUUUAUGUUGCGAGGAUAGCCACCAAAACGAUUUCUUGCUGCCCAAAAUUACCUGUUGGCCGUGAAGAAGAGCCAGAUGAGAACCGGUUCCCAUGUGAGCUGUAUUGUUGUCCUGAAGUAUAAGUGUUUGCUAGUCCAUUGCCACGAUAAAAAUUGAAUGCGAUUGUUAGGUCUCCAACCCCCACGAAAACGCCCCCGUCUGCCAGAUUGAUGCUGCACAAAGAACGCAGCUGGUUGCUGCGUUGGAGUAGGUAAUAGAGGGGCUGUUACAGAUGGCUGGAGGGAGGCUUUGUGAAGGAACUCAUGUGUAAGAAGGCUACUAUGGAGAUCAGUAUAGCUGAUGGGGGCAUCAUUUGUGGAGAAGCCGGUGACAAGAUCUUUAAACUCACUGCGCAAUCCGCGAAAAACAUACAGAUUAAAUUCUGCCAGGGAGAUUGGUCUACCAGCGGCAGCCAAUUCAUCAAACAAAGCCUUAGCCUUCUGGAGGUAAAUGCUGGCAGAAUCAUCAUUCUGUCUUAGGUCCUGGAAUGAGCCGUGGAGCUGCAUAAUUCUGGAAUUUGAGGGAGAGGCCAGAGCUGUUUCUAACGUUGUCCAGAUUGCAUGUGAAGUGUUGCAAUCUACAACCAAGUGCAGAACUUCGACCGAGAGAGAAGAUAGGAGGGCACUCAUGAUGAGGUGAUCUUGCUGCUUCCAUGAUAAAAUAUGCCGGGUUGACAGAGAGUAUAGAUGGCUCAGCCGAUGCCAAAUGUGAAGGAGGACAUGGUGAUGUGCCAUCAACAAAUGAAUAAACACCUUGGCCCAAGAGAAAAGGUUUCAUCUGCAUCCUCCAAUACAAGAAAUUAUGGUUGGAGAGUUUUAAAGAAACUACCUGAUGUGUGUUAGGAAGAGAGAUAAUGGAGGCAGUAGGCGAUGCCCCAUACAUGACUGAUUGCUCUACAGGGGAGAAGGAAGAUUGAAGAGCUGAUACAGCGCCAGCAGAUUGUUGAUUGUCCAUGUUGCUAGGGAGAAGAAGUUUCAGUUUCUACUUCGUGAUAAGUGACAGAGGAAGGAGAUGAGAAGCUGCUGCUUUGUGAAUUAAACUGAGGAAGAACCGGCUGCUAAGAAGAUAGGAUGGCUGCUGGUUGCCAAAUAGCUACGCAGGAGAAUUUCAGCUUUUAAGGGAGAAGGCUGCUGAACAAUAACCGGUGCUCUGAUACCAAAUUAGAAUUAAUUGAGAGAUAGUUUUGUGUUUAAUUGUGUUGGAUGCAUAAGAGUAGCAACCAUCCUUUGUAUUUAUACUUGUAGGGUUGUGUACAAUAUAAUGGUGGGAUGUAUUACAUACUAUAACUAUUACUAUGUAGAAGUGUUUACAUUGAAUUCAAACUCUUUUCUUAAUAGAAAGGAAUUUAAUUUGUUGUUAACAUAAACUAUCACCAUGAAUACCUGAUAAUAUUUACAAGUAUUGGCAUUACUUGAAUAAGAUAAUUAAUAUAAUCAUGUUAAUAAUUUAUAAUCUGAUUGGAACCUCCUUUGUGUGUGGUUUUCAAUUGAGUAAUAAGAGUUUAUACUAUACUUGUUUGAAGUACCAUUAGUGGAUCCUCUAACCUUGACAUUUGUUUUUAUAAUUGUUUAAUCAUCAAAUUAAUCUUACAUCUCAAAGUCCUCUUUAUUAUUACUAUUACUAUUACUACUAUCAUUAUUAUUAUUAUUACUAUUACUAUUAUUAUUGUUGUUGUUGUUGUUAUUUAUAAUUUAUAUAGUUAACCUCUUUGUGGUUCGACCUCGGUCUUGCCGAGUUAUUUAUUACUUCGACACUCCUGCACUUGGGAGAAGACAUGAAUCUUUUGAUCGUGUCACUGGUUUUGUGAAUCAACCAUGGAUUUCCCAUUGAAUUAUUUACAAUCAGCAACGAAAAAUCCGUUGCUGAUUAUAUGAUUUUUAUUAAAUUAAUUUAUAAUUUUUAUCCAAAUGACUUUGAAUUUUUUAAUUAAUUAUUUAUGGAUAUUUUGAAAGUUGUAGAAUAUAUAUAAAAACAUAAAUUAAUAUUUAAAAUUACUUUAUCACCAAUAAUAAAUGGAAUAAAAAUAAAAUUCAUAAUAUAAGUAAAAAUUUAGUUAAAGUUGCACCAAAGCAAAUAAGUACAAAUACAAUAAAAAGAUAUAAUUAUGUGCUUUUUGUGGAGACGAACCAUGAUACUGUGGAUCGAUGUAAGAUGAAUUAUGAUAUGAUGGUCGAGGUAUAGGUCAAUAUAUUGGUGCAGAUGUGGGAUCCAUAUGUGUCAUUAUCUGGGGAGUUGUAUGUGGCGGCAUUGAUGGGGCCAUAGGUGCUGGCAUACCUUGGCUAAUGUUUGAUGUCCCACCAUGAUAUCCAAGAUUGUUCAUAUGAUAUUCUAAUAUUAUUACUAUUAUUAUUAUUAUUAUUAUUAUUAUUAUUAUUAUUAUUAUUAUUAUUAUUAUUACUAGUAUUACUAUUAUUAUUAUUGUUGUUGUUGUUGUUAUUUAUAAUUUAUAUAGUUAACCUCCUUGUGGUUCGACCCCGGUCUUACCGGGUUAUUUAUUACUUCGACACUCCUACACUUGGGAGAAGACAUCAAUCUUUUGGUCGUGUCAAGUUUUUGGCACCGUUGCCGGGGAGGUAAAUUCUUGUAUAAAUUAUAAUAUUUAUUUUAUUUUCUCUUUUCACUUUUCAUUUUAUCUAACUUUUAUUUCUUUUGUUUUCUUUUGUUUCUUUUUCUUCUCUUCUCCUUUCUUCCUUUAUUCUCCUCUUACACGUGCAUGAGAGUUUGGUCACGUAUAUUAAAUGGUAGACUUUGUAGGGUAUCCUCAUAAUUUUUAGAAAUAUGACUGAAGAAGAUAAUCAAUACCUUCAUAAUGAGAAUAAUGAGAAUAACUGUAUGAGAAUACUUGGAGACCAUAUGAAUCCCACAAGAACAAUUGCACCCUCAUGCAUAGUUUUCCCUCCUGAUGCAUUUCAUUUUAAUUUUAAACCAUACAUUAUUCAACUUUUACCUUCUUUUCAUGGCUUAGACCUAGAACAAUUUUUAAUUUUUUUUUCCAUCUCACAGAACAAACUCUUUUAAAAGACAAAUCAUCACUUUCACUCAAAAGCCAGGAGAAAUAUUUUACCAAUGUUGGGAUAGGUAUCGAGACUUGCUUAAUACUUGCCUUCAUCAUGGUUUUGAAACAUGGAGAUUGGUUUCACAUUUUUAUGAAGGGUUAACACCUAGAGAUAGGCAAAUGGUUGAAUUGAUGUGCAAUGGAACUUUUGAAGAUAAAGACCCUAAUGAAGCAAUGAAGUACAUAGACUUGCUAACAAAAAAUGCUCAAAAUUGGGACACCAUAGAUACUUCUGAGACACCAAGUAAAACUCAACCUCAUACAUCUAGAGGUAUACAACCUUAGAGAAGUCAUGACCUCCAAGCCAAGUUUGCAUCUUUAGCUAGAAAAGUUUGAAGCACUUGAAUUGAAAAGGGAGUGAUCAAUUAAAAUCUAUUCAAGACAUUGUGUGUCAAAUCUGUGAAACCAAUGAACACUCAAAAAAUGAUUGUCCAACUUUGCCUUCUUUUAGGGAAUGCCUUCAUGAAAAGCCAUGCUUUAAACAGUUUUCAAAGGCCCAAUCAUAACCCAUACUCACAAACGUAUAACCCUGGUUGGAUAAAUCACCUAAAUUUUAGUUGGAAGAGUGAUAGCAACAAUACACAAACUUAACAACCACCGUUUCAAGCACACCAUGAUUUCUAAAAUUCUUAUGGAUAUGCACCUCCUUAUGCUCCACCUCCUAGAAGAAAUCUUGAGGAAACAUUGCAUGCAUUCAUCAAAAAACAAGAGGCAAUCAACACUCAACUUGCUCAAGGCAUGCCAGAUUUUAAAGAUACUCUUGCAAAGUUAACAUCUACUCUCAGUUUCCAAGAAAAUGGUAAGUUUUCAUCUCAACAACAUCAAAAUCCAAAAGGACAAUACAAUGCAAAUGCAAGUAGUUCCGGAAGCCAACACAUGGAUCAAGUCAAAUCAGUCACCACUCUUCGUAGUGGUAAGGUUAUUGAAAAACCCGCUCUUGAACCUUGUGAGAAAGAUGAUGAGUCUAUCUUUGAGGGUAAGGAAGGGGUUGAAUAUGAACAUUGCAAAGAAAAUGUUGAUUCCCUGCCAGCACUCUCAUUUCCUCAUGCCAUGACCAAACAAAGAAAAGUCAACCACAACUCUGAAAUCUUUGACACUUUCAAACAUGUAAGGAUCAAUAUACCUUUGUUGGAUGCUAUUAAACAGGUUCCUUCCUAUGCUAAAUUUUUGAAAGAUCUGUGCACUGUGAAGAGAAAACUGAAUGUGACAAAGAAAACAUUUUUAGCCGAACAAGUGCCAUUCUUCAAACCAAUAAUGCUUUGAAAUAUAAAAACCCUGGUUGUGCUACAAUUUCUUGUUUUUAUUAAAGAACAUAAAAUUAAAAGAGCCUUAUUUGAUCUUGGAGCUAGUGUGAAUUUACUUUCAUAUUCAGUUUUUUUAAAGUCUUAAUCUAGGUGAGUUAAAACCAACUUCUGUAACUCUUUUACUUGCUGAUAGAUCUGUAAAAGUGCCUAGAGGAAUAGUUGAGGAUGUGUUAGUACAAGUUGAUAAAUUCAUUUACCCUGUAGAUUUUUUUGUCUUGGAUACACAACCUAUUGAAGCAUGUAAUUCAAUUCCUCUAAUUUUAGGGCGUCCAUUUCUUACCACUUCUAAUGCAUUAAUUAAUUGUAGGAAUGGACUGAUGAAGCUAUCAUUUGGAAACAUGACAUUGGAGAUGAAUAUUUUCAACAUUUACAAGCAACCUGGAGAUGAUAAUGAUUUACAGGAAGUGGAUUUUAUUGAAAAAUUAGUUCAUGAUCAAUUUCAAACCACUUCUAGUGAAACUGAGAUUGAUGAAUCUGAUGAUUUGCAAAUGGUCUCCUUUCAGGAACAAUCAAAGGCAUGUAAAUAGAGACCAUAAAUUGAAGAAUUGUGACACGACCAAAAGAUUGAUGUCUUCUCCCAAGUGCAGGAGUGUCAAAGUAAUAAAUAACCCGGCAAGACCAAGGUCGAACCACAGGGAGAUUAACUAUAAAUUAUAAAUAACAACACAACAACAACAACAACAACAACAAUUAGUAGUAGUAGUAAUAAUAGUAAUACUAAUACAAAUAAUAACAAUAAUAGUAAUAAUAGUAGUAGUAGUACUAAUAAUAUUAAUAAUAGUAAUAGUAAUAAUAAAGAGGACCUUUGAGAUGCAAGAUUAAUGUGAGGAUUAAACAAUAAUAAAAACAAAUGUCAAGGUUAGAAGAUCCAUUAAUGGUAUUUCAAACAAGUAUAAUAUAAACUCUUAUUAUUCAACUGGAAACCACACACAAAGGAGGUUCCAAUCGAAUGAUUUAUCAUUAAUAUCUCAUUAUAAAUUAUUAACAUGAUCAUAUUAAUUAUCUUAUUUAAAUAACACCAAACUUUUAAAUAUUGUCAGGAAUUCAUGAUGCUAACUAAUGUUAACAACAAAUCAAGUUCCUUUCAUAGCACAGGUGUAGGUAAACCAUACGGUUGGGCUAUGAGAGUGCUAAGCAUUUGUUGUACCAAGUGUUAUACAACACAAAUAUAGAUUAACCAUUUAACAAGCAAGAUAUUAAGAAUUAGUAAGAUAAAAAGAUAAGACAUGUUAAUAUUAAACAUUAAGGUCCAUGUUGAGUUUACAUUAUACUUAUUCUUACACCAUUAGUGUAACAUUUUCACGUUGACAUAAUAAACUUAGCUAAACAUAAUGAAGAAGAGAAACAUAAAUAAACAAAAAAGAACAUAAAUAAGAUACAAGUUAACUAAGUAAAGGAAAGGAAAUGAAAAGCAUAGACAAGAUAUUAAUGAAAGCAAAACUUAAGAAUUACAAAAAAAAUGUAAAGAGAGAGAGCAAGAACAAGUUCUUGAUCUGAACACUAAGAUGCCUAAAUGCAUGCCAAAUGCCUCCUUUUAUAGGCCAAAAUUUAGAACUAUUGAUUUGAUGACUAAUUGUUGAAUGGGUGGCCAACUCUUAACUUGGUGAAAAUCCUUAUCUUCUUGUCCGAAUAAAACAUCAUUGCUAACAUCAGAACUAGAACCACCUGUACGUAUGAAAGUUCUAGGAAAUUGUCUUAUCUUUUUAGGAAAAAAAAUUGAGGUCAUUUGGGCUUCUAGAACUUGAGAUAUGGGUUGAACACUAAACAAUAUCUGGGCUGCAGGACAUAUUUGGACUUGAAAACGACCUUUUUAAAUCUUGGACUGCACAUGAAAGUUGUAGGCCUAUGUCUUAGCAAAUCUAUCAAAAAAUUGAGAUCAUUUGGACAUUUAGAACUCGAGAUAUGACCCAAUUACCGAACAGUGUUCCAGUUUAGACUGCACCAAUAUUUUUUUUUCUAAGUUUGGCACUCUCUUUGUCCUUUCAAUUUCAAUACUUAAACUCAUCAAUCUAUCCUUUCAUUUAUGUGAUAGGCCUGCAUUUAAGAUGAACCUUUUCCAUAAAUUAAAGGUAUCUUAUUUUAUUAUUAUAAAACAUGCUUUAGUUAAGGAGUUAUUAAUACUUCAAGUGCAAAAUGAUGAUAUAAAACCUUGAUAAAAAUACACUUUUAAGUACUAAUCACACCCCCCAACCACCUUAUUACUAGUCCCUAGUAAUCAAAGCGUUAAAAUAGAAAAACAAUUUGCAAGUUCCAGAAAGCAAGGCAUUCAUCAUUAAACUUCCAUUAAUCUAUCCAAAUAAACAAACUCUCAUUAAAUUUGUAAUCCUGCUUCAUAUAUCUUAAACAAGAUAUUAAUAAACCUUGUUUUUAUGUGCUCAAUGAAAACAUAGAUGAUGAGACUUUUGUUGGAAGAAAACAAUAUUAUGUUCUAAUGUUUAAGAUUAACUUCCUGGGGUUGGGUAUUAUUAUAUAUAUAUAUUUUUUUUUUCUUUUUUUAUUAUUUAUUUAUAUACAUAUACAACUUAAAACACAAUGCAUCUUUAACAAAUGUAACGAGUUUUCGGCUAAUGACUCCCAAACCAAUUGGUCUUAGGGCAUUAGGUGUUGAGACACCCCUAUGAGCUUAGUAACUCGGGUUGCAGAUACUGAUAUGUAGAUAAUGCAAUGUUUUAUUUCCUUAAGCUUUUCUCCUUAACCCAUGUAACAAGCUUUAGGCCAAUAGCUCCUAAGUCUGUUGACUUUAGGGUAUUAGGUGUUAAAACACCCAUUCGAGCUUAAUUGCUUAGGUUAGGGAGGCUACGAAACCAAACUUAUCUAUGUUUUUAUUAUCAUCAAUAUUAUCAUUUUUUUUUCAAAUUAUACACUAUCCCUUUCCCUUAGUUGUUACCUUUAACAAAAGAACAUAAAUAAUGUAAUAAUCCAAUGUGCAACCCACAAUCAUAUGAUAAAGUGCGUGUGUGAAAAUGAAGGUUUAAGAAUACUUGUUAAAUGAGUAUAUGAGCAGGAUCGAGUGACAACAAUGUGAGAGUUUGUAAACCUGAAUAUUUCAAGAAGUAUUCUAAUAGACCUUGGUGAUGAUACUUACUAAGAUGCGUCUCAAGAGUCAAUAAAAUUUCCUCCUUACUCUGCCAUCCUAAUAACAAUUUUGUCAAAUAGUUUUAAUAAUAGUAAAAAGAGUUAGUAAGUUAGUUUUUUUUUAUGUCGACUACUACCCUCUCCCCCAACCAAAACGAGACAUUAUCCUCAAUGUCCUAAGGUAGAAAUCACCUGAAACACAAACAAUGACAAACCUGAAACACACUUAAACAAAUAUAAGAAGUAACAAAACAAAAUAAUAUGCUAUUAAUAAAACCAAAAAACACAAGGUUUCAAAAAUGAAGGCUCAAAUCUAAUCUAAGCUUUUUACGGCUUUCCUUAGUUGACCAAUUUAGGCGAAUCAUGCAGGGAUCAAUGACAGGGAUGAAAGAUUGUAGUUGGUCAAUCAAUUGUUCAGCAGUAGCAGCAGAGAUUAUGAUUGCUCGUGCCGAAGAUAUUAGAAAUUCAUGUUCCACAGCUUGAUCAAGAAAAGACAACAAUUUAUCAUAGAAACCAUUAACAUUUAACAAACCUAUAGGUUUAUGGUGAAUGUGCAGUUGGGCCCGAGAGGAAAUAUGAAAGAUCUCUUCCAAUGUGCCCAGACCACCUGGUAAGGCAAUGAAGGCAUCAACAUGGUUAAACAUGACAUUUAGUCGAUCAGACAUUGUGGGGACCUGUAGUUCCUCUCCAAUAUUUUUUCCAAUGAUGUCCCUAUUUGUUAAAGCUUUGGGGACAUCCCCCAAAACUUGACUGCCUCCUAAAAAUGCAGCCAUUGACACACCUCCCAUUAACCCAAGGUUACCUCCCCCAUACAUUAAAUGAAUCUUUCUCUCAGCUAGUACCCGACCAAGAUGAUUUGCUGAUUCUAAAAACUCUUUUUCUUUCCCAGGACUGGAUCCACCGAAAACACAAAUAUUUCUUAUGUGAUGACUUGAGGAACCUGCCAUUUCUACAUGCUUUUAUAUUUGAUGAAUGUAUGGGUUGAGUAGAAAUGAAGGGAAGGAAGAGAAUAAUUUAUAGAUGAGAAAUUGAAAAUGCAAUCAUACCACCUAUAUGUAGGCCAACUGUAGUCUCACACACACGCUCUCUGUUUAUUAAUUAUUUAUUUUGAAAAAAAGCAUGUGUAUGUACAAGUAGUUGUGAUUGUGCCUCACAUCUUCUCUUGGUUUUACAUCCAAGAACGACUUAAACGCUCUCUAUGGGUCGGGGAUAGGUUUCCCAUCCAGUUUUCUUAAAAACUGGCAAAUAAGGUCUUUUUUAGUUAGAUUCCCAAGACUAAGUCGGGCAUGUUCUUUAUGGAAUUGUGGCCAUAAAUCAUGAAUUUCACGAUGUACAUCUCCACUAGGAUGCGUCUCAAGGGUCAACAGAAGAUUAUUUAAAGACCCUUUACUGAGGCCAUCCUUAAUGAAUUGUAUUUUAUCUUCAUGGUUUACAUAUACCAUUCCUAAAAAAUGACAUGUCGCAUUACAAGUCCAUCUGACACAUCUAUGACAGACUUUCAGUAAUUUUGCAUGACGUUUCUUUGCAAAAGUGCUUUUACCUAUUCCAGGCAUGUGUGAAAUGAAAGAAUUGGAGGACUCACCUACUAAUCGGACCUUUGCUUCAAUUAGCCAGCGAAUAUCUUCAGGAAUUCCAUGAUUCAUUAACAACCUCAAUCUUGCACACCUAGUACGGUAAAUUUUUGUAAUCUCAUUUGAAGGCAAAGUGGAAAAAUACCUUUUCAAUUUUUCGAGAGUGGUGUCCAUUUUUAAAGAAUUGGGGAAAAGAUUCAAAGAAGGGAGAAAGAGCAAAGAAUUGCAAAAAUAUAGACAGAUAUUAGCUAUUAUUGAAAACUAAAAGAACCAACUUAAGUCACGGAGUACCGUUAUCCACCAUUUGACCGGGGUGAGAGAGAGACUAGCAAAACAAAAGUUACACCAAAACAAAACACAAAACAAUGUGAGAAAAAGAAUCAAUCUUUAUAUAUAGGAUCACUCAAUUCAAUAGUCAUUUUCAACCGAAAAAUUAUCGAAAUAAACUUUGAAACGAUGCCCAUUUACCUUGAAAACAUUGCCAUUCUUUGGAUUCUUGAUAUCACAGGCCCCAUAUGGAUAUACAUGUUUCAUAAUAAAAGGAUCGCUCCAUCUUGAUCUUAGUUUUCCAGGAAAUAAAUGGAGUUGAGAAUUAUAAAGCAAGACUUUUUGACCAACAUUGAAUGUUUUUCUAAGUAUUUUCUUGUCAUGAAACUCUUUGAUUCUUGCUUUAUGAAUUCUUGAAUUGUCAUAUGCAUAAUUUCUUAUUUUCUCAAGCUCAUUUAUUUACAAUUUUCGUAGCAUCAUCAAGGUUGGAAUUGAAAGCUUUAACAGCCCAAUAAGCUUUAUGUUCAAUUUUCACAGGCAAGUGCAAGGUUUUCCAUUUACUAAUCUAUAAGGUGCCAUACCUAAUGAUGUUUUUAUAAGCAGUUCGAUAAGUUCAAAGUGCAUCAUUAAGUCUUAAAGGCCAGUCUUUCCUAUUAGGGUUCACUGUUUUCUCCAAGAUUUGUUUGAUCUCCCUAUUAGCAAGCUCUACUUAUCCACUUGUAUGAGGGUGAUAAGGGGUGGCAACUUUGUGUGUGAUUCCAUAUUUUUUCAUUAAAGAAUCAAAUGGCUUGUUGCAUAAAUGUGUUCCACCAUCACUUAUCAUGGCUCGAGGGAUUCCAAAUCAACUCAAAAUAUUGUAUUUCAAAAACUUUAUCACUGUUUUGUGAUCAUUGUAUUGGCUUGGAAUUGCCUCUAUCUAUUUUGAAACAUAAUCUACUACGACUAAUAUGUACACGAAACCAAAUGAUGGAGGAAAUGGACCCAUGAAAUCUAUACGCCAACAAUCAAAGAUCUCAAUGACAAUAAUAGGAUUUAAAGGCAUGAUGUGACGUUUUGAAAUAGAUCCCAACUUUUAACAAUUUUCAUAAGUGUUGCAGAAUGCAUGUGAGUCCUUGAACAUGGUGGGCCAGUAAAAUCCACUUUGUAAGAUUUUUGCAGUUGUUUUUUUGACAAGAAAUGACACCCACAUGCCUCAGAAUGACCAAAUUUAAUGACGCUACUUCCCUCAUUGAUGAUUAUGUUUUUAUUAUAUAUGGGUCCCUGCAUUCUUGAUUAUGUUUAAAAACAUCCCCGUCCCUUUUUACCUCACUUUUUCUAGUUUUGAUCAAGGUUGUCAAUUCCGGUCUGUUUUGUUUGGAAUGGUCGAAACAUUUGAUACUUAUUAAAAAACAUAACAAAACGAAAAAAGUUUCAUCUUAUUUUAAAUCUCGGUCCAUUCCGGAGUUUUUGACUAAAUUUUGACUGGAAUGUUCCGGUUUCAUUCCACAUAUUUCAUUCUGGUCUUGAAAAGCCAUUGAAUCAAAUUGAAUCUGGUUCAAUUUAAUUAAUUAAACCACCCAAAUAUAAAAAGCUUUUUUUAAUUACUAUUUUCAAUUACAAUGAUACUAAUAAUAAUAUUGAAAAUUAUUAUUACUAUUUUCAUUAACAAUGAUAUUAAAUUUUUAAAAUUAGAUUUAUCACUAACAAUGAUACUAAUUUAUUAUUUAUGGAUAUUUUGAAAGUUGUAGAAUAUAUAUAAGAAACAUAAAUUAAUAUUUAAAAUUACUUUAUCACCAAUAAUAAAUGGAAUAAAAAUAAAAUUCAUAAUAUAAGUAAAAAUUUAGUUAAACUUACACUAAUGCAAAUAAGUCAAAAUACAAUAAAAAGAUACAAUUAUGGUGCUUGUUGUGGAGAUGAACCAUGAUAUUGUGGAUCAACAUAAGAUGAAUUAUGACAUGAUGGUCGAGGUGUAGGUCAAUAUAUUGGUGGAGAUGUGGGAUCCAUAGGUGUCAUUUUAUGGGGAGCCAUAUGUGGCUCCAUUGAUGGGGCCAUAAGUGCUGGCAUACCUUGGCCAAUGUUUGAUGUCCCACCAUGAUAUCCAAGAUUGUUCAUAAGAUAUUCUUUCAUAGAAUCCAUCUGUCGUUUCAUUUCAAAAAUAAAAUCAUCUCUUUUCUUUAUCCCGCUUCUUUUUUCUUUAUCUCCUUUUGCAAUGCUCGAUAAGAUGAAUUAGGAUAUUGUGACUUCACCGAGUAGGAAUGUGAUGAAGAACUUGUAAUCACUAUAGAUUUUGGCAUACGAGGUGCACUAUAUACCCUACCCUUUGUAACUCCUCCUGAAGCCACCACCAAGCUGCUCCAUCAAAUGAAGAAUGAUUUUUCCUAUUAGUUCCGUACUUUGAAAUCAUCUCCUUCUUAUCAUUUUCCUUAAAAAUAAAAUACAUACAAUAAUAAAUUCAUUUGAAUGUUAAAUAGUAUUUAAGUUAUAUAAAUAAAUAAAUAAAAAUACAUACAAUCACUUUCUUAGACUUGCUAUUUACAAAGAUUCUAAACUGCUUAGUACUUUGAUGCAAAGCUGAAACGACAUCAUCUCAUGAAGGUUUUUUUUUCUACCAACUUGCUUUUGCUAGGAAUUAUGAAACAUGUCCGUCAUGAACUCUCAUAAGUCUCUCAUCAUUUUGACAAUAUCUUGCAUUGGACUGUGUAAUUCAACACCUUCGAUGCGGACCUGGAUUUCGGGUAGAAAUCAUGAUGCUAUUUUAUGACAUGGAAAACAAAAUUAGGGUAUUUUUUAAACCUUUAUGAACUCUCACAACUCUCACAAGGCUCUCACCAUUUUGACGAUCUUUUGUAAUGGACUGUGUAAUUCAACACCUUCAAUUCAGACCUGGAUUUUAGCUAGAAAUCUUGACGCUAUUUUAUGAUAUGGAAAACAAAAUUAUGUUUUAAUUUAUAUAUAUGGGUCCCUGCAUUCUUCAUUAUGUUUAAAAACUUCCCCAUCCCUUUUUACCUCACUUUUUUCUAGUUUUGAUCAAGGUUGUCAAUUUCGUUCUGUUUUGUUUGGAAUCACCGAAACAUUUCAUAUCUAUUAAAAAACAUAACAAAACAGAACAAGUUUCAUCUUAUUUUAAAUCUCGGUCCAUUCCGGAGUUUUUGACUAAAUUUUGACUGGAAUGUUCCGGUUUCAUUCCACAUAUUUCAUUCCGGUCUUGAAAAGCCAUUGAAUCAAAUUGAAUCUGGUUCAAUUUAAUUAAUUAAACCACCCAAGUAUAAAAAGCUUUUUUUAAUUACUAUUUUCAAUAACAAUGAUAUUAAUAAUAAUAUUGAAAAUUAUUAUUAUUUUCAUUAACAAUGAUAAAAUUUUUAAAUUAGAUUUAUCACUAAUAUAUAUGGUUUAUUUCAUGUUUUUUUUCAUGUUUAUACUUUGGAGAAAUUUGAGCAAAACAAGGGAUGCUUUAGAUCCCAUUAGCCUCGAUAACGUUGAACUAGCUUUAUAUGUAAAAUAUUGGUAUUAAAACAUUUUACUUUCAUAAUAUUUUGAUAUUUUGUUUAAGUUAGUUGAGAAUAAUGGAAUGUGUUGGGUUGUGCCUUAGCCAACCUUCCUAUUUAUAUAGAGGCAGCAAAACACUGCAGUAACUAUAAUGAUUACAACAUCCUAUAUUACUUUCCUAUCCUGAUAGAUACAUGAGUAACUGUAAUGAUAACAACAUCCUAUAUUAAUUUCCUAUUCUACAAUAUGCCCCCUCAAGUUGAGGGUGGGGGAUCAACUCGAAGCUUGAACCAAAAGAAGUAAAGGAUGCAACAUGAAGCGGUUUAGUGAAGACAUCGACAAGUUGAUCCCGAGAGGGAACAAAAUGAAUCUGAAUUUCUUUCUUGGCAACACGGUCACGAACAAAGUGAUAAUCCACUUCAACAUGCUUUGUACGAGCAUGGAAGAUAGGAUUUGCUGAGAGAUAGGUAGCACCAAGAUUAUCACACCAAAUGGUAGGAGCAGAGACUGAGGGAACUUGCAAAUCUGUUACACAGUUUGGCCAAAUGACUUCAAGCGGUACCAUCAGCAAGGGCUUUAUACUCAGCCUCAGUAGAGGAGUGAGCAAUAGUGCGUUGCUUGCCGGAUUUCCAAGAAAUCGGCGUCUGACCAAAAAAGACAAGAUAGCCGCCUGUAAACUUGCGAUCAUCAAUAACCAGCCCAAUCUGUAUCUAUAAAGCCAUGUAGAGCAAAAGAGGAGCCUUGAGUGAUAUGGAAACCAUAAGAUGUCGUACCUUUAAGAAAUAGCGUAAAAUACGUUUGACAGCGGCCCAAUGAGAAAUGUAAGAGCAUGCAUAAACUGACAGACUCUGUUAACAACAAAGCAUAUAUCUGGACGGGUGAAGGUAAGAUAUUGAACGGGUAUGCGUUUUUGAUAUGCGAACUUGAAUGCUAUAUUUACAGCUUUUAGUAUAUAAUUAGCUUGCUAUACAUGUUAUUUUCUCAAACUUUAAUGUUAUUUAUUUAUUUCAGGUCAGGUUCGGGUAGACCAAUAUCCAUACUCUACUCGGACUUGACUUUUUCCAUUUGAUUUAUUCGAAACUCGAUUGAGUCUAAAAGUUUUCUAUUUGAAUCGAUUGAGUUAGUAUGCAUAGGUAAAACUGUCAUGGUAAGUAUAAUCCAAAUACCAUAUUGUUUGGCAAUGAUAUGCUUUGCUAUUAGUUCUAACAUGACAACUAACAAACUAUCAACCCAACAAAAAGAUAUAAAAUCAUGUUAAAGAAUUAUCUCAACCACAAAACUUAAGUUGUUAUGUAAAGUUUUAAGAUAUAAUUAUAUUAUUAUCUAACCACCUCUCGAAUGAAAGCAUUUUGGGCUUGAAACUUGCAAACCCAUAUUACCUUGUGCUUUUUUUAUUCAAAUAUAGAGAUGGUGAGAUUCGAACUCGUAAUUACUUAAUUAUCAAGGCUAUAAUACCAUAUCAAAGAACCAUCUCAACACAAUAACUUAAACUAUUAUAUAAGAUUUCAAAUAAUUUAUAUUACUCUUUAAUCAUUUCGAUAUUAAUUUACAUGUAAGGGCAUAUUGUAUUCUGAAUGCCCCACGAAGACAGAAAGAGUUGGAAGAAAAAGGCUAGAAGCUAGAUGCUAGAGCAUGGAGCUAUGGACCAAUCUAUGAACUUUUCAGCCAGCAGAGCAAGUUGUUGUUUGGAGCCCUUCUACUUUAUAAAUUCUGAAGAGGCAAGAAAAAGAAGACUUUCAUCUUUUUUCGAGAGACAGAAGGCAUGCUAAUGAAACUAGGGGUGGGGGAGUUUUGUAGGUGAAGACCACGAGAUGAAGCACACACGGGGAAGGAAGAAUUAGAGCUUCGUGACAAACCUAAGAUUUUUGAAUUGUUCUCUUUUUUUUCAUGCUCAUGCAGCAGAUUAUCCUACGUAGACCACCAUUACCACAACAAGGAAGAGAUAGAGAGCUGCUAGUCAGCAAAUCUGCUGCAACUUGGUCCCUUGUUCUAUAAAUGGCUGCUGAUGUCGAGACUCAAAAAUCACUUCAAUUUCAAGAUCAAGAUUGAGUUUAUACACUAAUUCUUGCAUUAAUAUCAGUACUACUGCCAUUGAGACCAUGGCCUUCAAGACAUUUUCUUUGUUUCUCUCGUGAUUGCUGCAAUAUUGCAGCCCCAGUUGCUGAAGCUCAUUGGGCUUAUUGGCGGUCUUCUGGGUUUGAUCCGAUCCAAGGGACUAUUUUGCACUGCCGAUGGCAAUAUUGGUGCUAAUGGCACAGCAACCCCUGUUUUCCCUAGUAUGCUUGCCCUGAUUCCUCUCUUUUCUUUUUUCUUUUCUUUUGAUCGAUAGUAAAGUAUCCUCGGACCAGAUUGUCAUGUUAUAGUUACCAUUCAUCACAUACGACAUCGUCGAAUGCAAUUUGACUUUGUUCUUCUUCUUAUCUUGCUUAUAAAGUUGUAAUUACAGUAACGGGUUUUUUCUUGCAGAUGCUCUCGUGCAGUUGCAAUGUGGAGGAAAUGUGGUUUCUACGUCAACACCAAUGGAUCUGGGAUGUUUUCUAUUUUGUUGGUCCUCUAAAUUAUAUUCUUUCCUCGGUAUUGAGCGACUGCAACCUGAAGGUCGUCACCGCUGAUCAGCUGCACUCAGUCUCCCUUGCUGUGGGUGGCUCCUAUCACCCUUACAGUUCAUCGGGAACACUGCUCUAGGAGCCUCUGAGUGUUGCAAACAUCAUCCCUGCCGGAUUCCGAUUCGUGCCUUAAAUUAGGAGACCACUGUAGUGAAGGCGGCAUUUAUUAUAUUUAGUAUGGCCAUUGCUAUGUACUCUUUUAUGAAUAAGGCUGUUGUAUUUACGUGUGUACUGUUUAUUGUUUUUCUUGCUUCCCAGGAUAAGGUCAUGAUUGGCUAUGCCAUUAUAUUAUAUAAUGUAUAUAUUUAGCGGUCUAAAUUACGAGGGGCCUACUAAAAAACGUAGCAAGUAUUUUGAUGCAAAUAAAACUAAUUUGUUGCUAAAACAUUUAGCAACAAAAUUAGCAACAUCGAUGUAUUAUAUGCAGAUUUGUUUUGUUGAUUUUAUAAUAGGGAUUUGUCGGUUGUUGAUUUAUCAGUAAUGAAUAAUCUAUUGCUCACAAUUGCAUGGAUUUUCCGUGCUAACAAUUAGAAUGUCUGUUGCUGGUUUUUUGAAUUAUUUACAAUCAACAACGAAAAAUCCGUAGCUAAUUAUAUGAUUUUAUUUAAUUAAUAUAUAUUAUAUAUUUUAUCCAAAUGACUUUUUUUUAAUUUAUUAUUUAUGGAUAUUUGAAAGUUGUAGAAUAUAUAUAAGAACAUAAAUUAUAUUAUUAAUUACUUUAUCACCAAUAAUAAAUGGAAUAAAAAUAAAAUUCAUAAUUAAGUAAAAAUUUAGUUAACUUACACUAAUGCAAAUAAGUCAAAAUACAAUAAAAGAUACAAUUAUGGUGCUUGUUGUGGAGAUGCAUGAUUGUGGAUCAACAUAAGAUGAAUUAUGACAUGAUGGUCGGGUGUAAGGUCAAUUAUUGGUGGAGAUGUGGGAUCCAUAGAUGUCAUUUUAUGGGGAGCCAUAAGUGCUGGCAUACCUUGGUCAAUGUUUGAUGUCCCACCAUGAUAUCCAAGAUUGUUCAUAAGAUAUUCUUUCAUAGAAUCCAUCUGUCGUUUCAUUUCAAAAAUAAAAUCAUCUCUUUUCUUUAUCCCGCUUCUUUUUUCUUUAUCUCCUUUUGCAAUGCUCGAUAAGAUGAAUUAGGAUAUUGUGACUUCACCGAGUAGGAAUGUGAUGAAGAACUUGUAAUCACUAUAGAUUUUGGCAUACGAGGUGCACUAUAUACCCUACCCUUUGUAACUCCUCCUGAAGCCACACACCAAGCUGCUCCAUCAAAUGAAGAAUGAUUUUUCCUAUUAGUUCCGUACUUUGAAAUCAUCUCCUUCUUAUCAUUUUCCUUAAAAAUAAAAUACAUACAAUAAUAAAUUCAUUUGAAUGUUAAAUAGUAUUUAAGUUAUAUAAAUAAAUAAAUAAAAAUACAUACAAUCACUUUCUUAGACUUGCUAUUUACAAAGAUUCUAAACUGCUUAGUACUUUGAUGCAAAGCUGAAACGACAUCAUCUCAUGAAGGUUUUUUUUCUACCAACUUGCUUUUGCUAGGAAUUAUGAAAGAACAUGUCCGUCAUGAACUCUCAUAAGUCUCUCAUCAUUUUGACAAUAUCUUGCAUUGGACUGUGUAAUUCAACACCUUCGAUGCGGACUUGGAUUUCGAGUAGAAAUCAUGAUGCUAUUUUAUGACAUGGAAAACAAAAUUAGGGUAUUUUUUUAAACCUUUAUGAACUCUCACAACUCUCACAAGGCUCUCACCAUUUUGACGAUCUUUUGUAAUGGACUGUGUAAUUCAACACCUUCAAUUCAGACCUGGAUUUUAGCUAGAAAUCUUGACGCUAUUUUAUGAUAUGGAAAACAAAAUUAUGUUUUAAUUAUAUAUAUAUGAGUCCCUGCAUUCUUCAUUAUGUUUAAAAACUUCCCCAUCCCUUUUUACCUCACUUUUUUCUAGUUUUGAUCAAGGUUGUCAAUUUCGUUCUGUUUUGUUUGGAAUCACCGAAACAUUUCAUAUCUAUUAAAAAACAUAACAAAACAGAACAAGUUUCAUCUUAUUUUAAAUCUCGGUCCAUUCCGGAGUUUUUGACUAAAUUUUGACUGGAAUGUUCCGGUUUCAUUCCACAUAUUUCAUUCCGGUCUUGAAAAGCCAUUGAAUCAAAUUGAAUCUGGUUCAAUUUAAUUAAUUAAACCACCCAAGUAUAAAAAGCUUUUUUUAAUUACUAUUUUCAAUAACAAUGAUAUUAAUAAUAAUAUUGAAAAUUAUUAUUACUAUUUUCAUUAACAAUGAUAAUAAAUUUUUAAAAUUAGAUUUAUCACUAAUAUAUAUGGUUUAUUUUCAUGUUUUUUUUUCAUGUUUAUACUUUGGAGAAAUUUGAGCAAAACAAGGGAUGCUUUAGAUCCCAUUAGCCUCGAUAACGUUGAACUAGCUUUAUAUGUAAAAUAUUGGUAUUAAAACAUUUUACUUUCAUAAUAUUUUGAUAUUUUGUUUAAGUUAGUUGAGAAUAAUGGAAUGUGUUGGGUUGUGCCUUAGCCAACCUUCCUAUUUAUAUAGAGGCAGCAAAACACUGCAGUAACUAUAAUGAUUACAACAUCCUAUAUUACUUUCCUAUCCUGAUAGAUACAUGAGUAACUGUAAUGAUAACAACAUCCUAUAUUAAUUUCCUAUUCUACAAUAUGCCCCCUCAAGUUGAGGGUGGGGGAUCAACUCGAAGCUUGAACCGAAAAGAAGUAAAGGAUGCAACAUGAAGCGGUUUAGUGAAGACAUCGACAAGUUGAUCCCGAGAGGGAACAAAAUGAAUCUGAAUUUUUUUUUGGCAACACGGUCACGAACAAAGUGAUAAUCCACUUCAACAUGCUUUGUACGAGCAUGGAAGAUAGGAUUUGCUGAGAGAUAGGUAGCACCAAGAUUAUCACACCAAAUGGUAGGAGCAGAGACUAAGGGAACUUGCAAAUCUGUUAACAAGUAUUGAAGCCAAAUGACUUCAGCGGUACCAUCAGCAAGGGCUUUAUACUCAGCCUCAGUAGAGGAGUGAGCAAUAGUGCGUUGCUUGCCGGAUUUCCAAGAAAUCGGCGUCUGACCAAAAAAGACAAGAUAGCCACCCGUAAACUUGCGAUCAUCAAUACUACCAGCCCAAUCUGUAUCUAUAAAGCCAUGUAGAGCAAAAGAGGAGCCUUGAGUGAUAUGGAAACCAUAAGAUGUCGUACCUUUAAGAUAGCGUAAAAUACGUUUGACAGCGGCCCAAUGAGAAUAUGUAAGAGCAUGCAUAAACUGACAGACUCUGUUAACAACAAAGCAUAUAUCUGGACGGGUGAAGGUAAGAUAUUGAACGGGUAUGCGUUUUUGAUAUGCGAACUUGAAUGCUAUAUUUUACAGCUAUUUAGUAUAUAAUUAGCUUGCUAUACAUGUAUUUUUCUCAAACUUUAAUGUUAUUUAUUUAUUUCAGGUCAGGUUCGGGUAGACCAAUAUCCAUACUCUACUCGGACUUGACUUUUUCCAUUUGAAUUUUAUUCGAAACUCGAUUGAGUCUAAAUUUUUUCUAUUUGAAUCAAUUUGAGUUAGUAUGCAUAGGUAAAACUGUCAUGGUAAGUAUAAUCCAAAUACCAUAUUGUUUGGCAAUGAUAUGCUUUGCUAUUAGUUCUAACAUGACAACUAACAAAACUAUCACACCCAACAAAAAAAGAUAUAAAAUCAUGUUAAAGAAUUAUCUCAACCCAAUAACUUAAGUUGUUAUGUAAAGUUUUAAGAUAUAAUUUAUAUUAUUAUCUAACACACCCUCUCAAAUGAAAGCAUUUUGGGCUUGAAACUUGCACAAACCCAUAUUACCUUGUGCUUAAUUUUUAUCAAAUAAAUAGAGAUGGUGAGAUUCGAACUCGUAAUUACUUAAUUAUCAAGGCUAUAAUACCAUAUCAAAGAACCAUCUCAACACAAUAACUUAAACUAUUAUAUAAGAUUUCAAGAUAUAAUUUAUAUUACUCUCUAAUCAAUUUCGAUAUUAUUUACAUGUAAGGGCAUAUUGUAAUCUGAAUGCCCCACGGAGACAGAAAGAGUUGGAAGAAAAAAGGCUAGAAGCUAGAUGCUAGAGCAUGGAGCUAUGGACCAAUCUAUGAACUUUUCAGCCACGCAGAGCAAUUUGUUGUUUGGAGCCCUUCUACUUUAUAAAUUCUGAAGAGGCAAGAAAAAGAAGACUUUCAUCUUUUUUCGAGAGACAGAAGGCAUGCUAAUGAAACUAGGGGUGGGGGAGUUUUGUAGGUGAAGACCACAGAUGAAGCACACAGGGGAAGGAAGAAUUAGAGCUUCGUGACAAACCUAAGAUUUUUGAAUUUCUCUUUCUUUUCAUGGUCAUGCAGCAGAUUAUCCUACGUAAACUCACCAUCACCACAAACAAGGAAGAGAUAAGAGAGCUGUUAGUCAGCAAAAUCUGCUGCAACUUGGUCUCCCUUGUUCUAUAAAUGGCUGCUGAUGUCGAGACUCAAAAAUCACUUCAAUUUCAAGAUCAAGAUUGAGUUUAUACACUAAUUCUUGCAUUAAUAUCAGUACUACUGCCAUUGAGACCAUGGCCUUCAAGACAUUUCUCUUUGUUUCUCUCGUGAUUGCUGCAAUAUUGGCAGCCCCAGUUGCUGAAGCUCAGCUUGGGCUUAUUGGCGGUCUUCUGGGUUUGAUCCGCAUCCAAGGGACUCUAUUUUGCACUGCCGAUGGCAAUAUUGGUGCUAAUGGCACAGCAACCCCUUUUCCCUAGUAUGCUUGCCCUGAUUCCUCUUCCUUUUCUUUUUUCUUUUCUUUUGAUCGAUAGUAAAGUAUCCUCGGACCAGAUUGUCAUGAUUACAUAGUUACCAUUCAUCACAUACGACAUCGUCGAAUGCAAUUUGACUUUGUUCUUCUUCUUAUCUUGCUUAUAAAGUUGUAAUUACAGUAACGGGUUUUUUCUUGCAGAUGCUCUCGUGCAGUUGCAAUGUGGAGGAAAUGUGGUUUCUACGUCAACCACCAAUGGAUCUGGGAUGUUUUCUAUCUUGUUGGAUCCUCUAAAUUAUAUUCUUUCCUCGGUAUUGAGCGACUGCAACCUGAAGGUCGAUACACCGCUGAUCAGCUGCAACUCCAGUCUCCCUGCUGUGGGUGGCCUCCUAUCACCCUUACAGUUCAUCGGGAACACUGCUCUAGGAGCCCUCCUGAGUGUUGCAAACAUCAUCCCUGCCGGAUUCCGAUUCGUGCCUUUAAAUUAAGGAGACCACUGUAGCUGAAGGCGGCAUUAUUAUUAUUAUUAGUAUGGCCAUUGCUAUGUACUACUUUAUAUGAAUAAGGCUGUUGUAUUAUACGUGUGUACUGUUUAUUGUUUUUUCUUGCUUCCCAAGGAAUAAAGGUCAUGAUUGGCUAUGCAUUAUAUAUAUAUUUUUAUCCAAAUGACUUUUAAUUUUUUAAUUUAUUAUUUAUGGAUAUUUUGAAAGUUGUAGAAUAUAUAUAAGAAACAUAAAUUAAUAUUUAAAAUUACUUUAUCACCAAUAAUAAAUGGAAUAAAAAUAAAAUUCAUAAUAUAAUUAAAAAUUUAGUUAAACUUGCACUAAUGCAAAUAAAUCAAAAUACAAUAAAAAGAUAGAAUUAUGGUGCUUGUUGUGGAGACGAACCAUGAUACUGUGGAUCAACAUAAGAUGAAUUAUGAUAUGAUGGUCGAGGUGUAGGUCAAUAUUGUAAGAGUCUGAAGUGUACAACUCGAUUAAUGUUAAAAGAUCCCAAUAUAUCAUCUUAUUUGAGGGUAAUUUUUUUGUUUUCAUUUCCAAAAAUUUGACAGAGUUUCAUUUGUAUUUUGGACAUCUCAAGUUAUCGACUACUAUCAAUUUACUCAAUCAACCCAUCAUCACAAGGUCCCAUAAUUUUGGACCUUAUAUCAAACCUCAUAAUUCCACACCUCAUACAAUCCACACACAAUAUAUAUAUAUAUAUCUUACGAGUAAGUUCAAUAUGAACAUAGUCCAACACAUCAUAUCAUAAAAUUUAAAAGAAAAGGAAUAAUAACAUGCAAAGAAAGCAUUUACAAUAUAAGAAGUGUUCUUAAAUAUUUCAAAAGGGUUAAUUACAAGAUAACUAAAAUACUACAUGCUCAGCUGAACCUUUGUAAAUAUAUCAAGAUUUACACAAACGUAUACUACAUAAACAUGUUAAUUCCCUUUUAUUUUAAGUUAAAUAUUUACAUAAGCUUCACAAAGUAGAGUCCUAAACUAAUGAUCUUCCUGGAUAUUUGAUGAACCUGUUACAUAAAUAAACAUACCAUUAUGUUGAUAAAGAAUAUAUAUAUAUGCUCAUGUAAUGAAUACAAAUGAAGUAUUAACUUUCUAUUGGAUCCAUAAGAAUAUUAACAGAGAACUUAUAUUUUGCUUGUAAGUCUUUUAAACCCAAUUAACACUCAUUUAUAUACUCUUAAUUUCAAUACUCUAAUUUACUUGCAUGAACUGCAUCACCUUGCAAAGUUUAAUCUUGUAAUUCAUUUCCCGACAAUCCUAUCAUGGAUGCCAUUAGCCGAAGCUAAUCUUGUAAAUCAUCUCCCGGCAAUCCUAUCACGGAUGCCAUUAGCCGAAGCUAAUCUUGUAUUUACGCUAGACUUUAUUUACAUUGAACACAACAUUUAUUGUAAUUGCAUUCACCAGAAGAAUUUUAAAUUGUAUAAGUGCAAAUAAGAGGAAAAUCACGCACCUCCUUUGCUUGUCUCGCGACCUCCCCUAACAGAAGAUCCAAUCCUGGUUGCUCCUCCUGAAUCAUAAUGAAGUUUUUAGUUAUGAUUCCUUCAAGUCGAUAUUAUAGAGAAUCUAUAUUCAUCCAUUACUCAUAUGUUACUUUCUAUGCAUGUUCAUUUUCUCAUAAUAUCAUACAUACAUAUAUCAUGUACAUUUUAAGAGUUAGUAUCUCAAUGUGCAAGUGUUCGUAUGACACAAUUCUUUUAUAUUCUUAUAUAUAGUAUUCACGUGAAAGUGUAUUAUUACUGUCUAACUUUAAACUGUUACUGUCCAAUUUUGAAAUGUUACUGUCCAAUUUUUAACCGUUACUUUCCAAUCGUUACUGUCUAAUUUUGAACUGUUACUGUCCAAACACUCACCAGAUUUUUAACUAUAUCUAAAGUUCUAAAACUUCAUUUUAAGUGACAUUAAUCUCGUUAUAAAGCUAAGACACGAGGCUACAAGUUUUAUGAAGGGAGGAGAGCCUAGUUUUGCCUCUAAGAUAGUCAAAAUUGCUCAUAAAAUAGUUAGUCCUACUGCCCUACAUAAUCAGUCACGACUCAGUCUCAGUUGGUAACCCAUAACUGGAGUUCUACAUCUCCAAGUUGAGCAAGACCAGUUUCCUUGGUUAGCUCACAUUCAAAUCUACAAUUUCUAUGAGAAACCCGAUCCUAAUCCCCUCAUUCUCCUACCCAAAAUCUCAUCGAAAGUUAGGAGACAAGUCUGUCAUUUUUAUUGGUAGGAAAAGGACAGAUUUAGUUAGUCGAUCCACAAUGACCAAGAUUGCAUCAUUUCCCCUCUUUGCUUUGGGUAGUCUCGACACAAAGUCCGUUGUGAUCAUCUCCCACUUCCACUCAGGGAUUGGUAAUGGUUGUAACAGCCCUGCCGGUUUUCGGUGUUCUACUUUUACUUGUUGGCAAAUACUACAUUUUGCCACGUAACUAGCCACUUCUUUUCUCAUAUUUGGCCACUAGUAGUACUGCUUCAUAUCCUUGUAAAUCUUAGUACUACCUGGAUGUACAGUGAACUUAGACUCAUGAGCUUCUCGUAGUAACUUUUGUUUAAGGGCUUUGUUGUCCGGCACAUACAUACGUCCCCCUAACAUCAUUAUUUUAUGAUCACCCAUUCAAAAAAGAGUUUCACAUCCCGAUUCCAGUUUGAUUCUCACUUUUGACACCUCAUCAUCAUGUUGUUGUGCCUUUAAUAUUUUCUCUUGAUAUCCUGACUUCACCCUUAGUUGAGCCAUUAAGGAUCCUUCCAGACUCACAUCUAAUAUUGUCCCCAACCUCUUUAGCUCAAUCAUAGUUUCCUCAUUCCAAGUCGUUGGUCCACCCCUAAUCACCUUGUCUUUACGGCUGAGAGCAUCCGCGACUACAUUCGCUUUUCCUGGAUGGUAAUCUAUAUUAUAGUCAUAGUCUUUAAUUAAUUCUACCCAUCUCCGUUGUCGCAUAUUCAACUCCUUCUACGACAUCAGAUAUUUAAGGCUCUUAUGAUCCGUGAAAAUUUAGACUUGGGAUCCGUAUAAGUAAUGCCUCCAUACUCGUAAAGCAAAAACUACUGCUGCCAAUUCUAUGUCAUAAACUGGGUAAUUGACUUCAUGAGUCUUCAGUUGUCUCGAUGCAUAGGCAACUACUUUUCCAUGCUGCAUUAGAACACAACCUAGUCCUUUUCUUGAGGCAUCACUGUAGACUACAAAGCCUUCUGUUCCGGAUGGAAGGAUUAGCACGAGGGUAGUACUAAGCCUUCUCUUCAAUUCUUGAAAGCUCUCAUCGCACUCCUUUGACCACUCCCAUCUUAUGUUCUUCUUGGUGAGUUGUGUUAAUGGAGUUGCUAUCGUUGAAAACCCUUCGAUAAAUCUUCUAUAAUACCCUGCCAAUCCGAGAAAACUACAAAUUUCAGUUACCUUAGUAGGCCUUUCCCAUCUCAAAAUUGCUUCCACCUUUUGAGGGCCCACAAAAAUGCCUUUUGAAGACACUACAUGCCCCAAAAAGGUAACUUAUUUUAACCAGAAGUCACAUUUAUCCAACUUGGUAUACAACUAGCGGCUCCUCAGAGUCUGUAGUGUCUGUCUCAGGUGCUGUUCAUGCUUCUCAUAGGAUUUGGAGUAAAUCAAGAUGUCAUCGAUAUGAAUACAACAACAAACUUAUCAAGGUAUGGUUGGAAUACUCGGUUAAUUAAAUCCAUAAAAACUGCUCGAGCAUUAGUUAAUCCAAAGGGUAGCACCAAGAACCCAAAGUGAGUUCUGAAGGCAGUUUUUGGCACAUCUUGCCCCUUGAUUUGUAUUUGGUAGUAUCCUAAUCUUAAAUCUAUAUUUGAGAAUACUUUGGCACCCUCAACUGAUUGAAUAAAUCAUCUAUCCGCAGAAGUGGAUUUAUGUUCUUUACCGUCACUUUAUUCAGCUGAUAGUAAUCUAUGCAAAGCCUCAACGUUCCAUCUUUCUUCUUCACAAAUAAUACAGGUGCCCCCUAAGGUGAGUUGCUUGGUCGUAUGAACACUUUGUCUAAAAGCUCCUGUAAUUGAAUUUUCAACUCAUCCAAUUCUUUUAGGGCCAUUCUAUAUGGUGGUUGGGCUAUAGGAGACACCCCAGGCAAUAUAUCUAUGGUGAUUUCAACUUCUCUUUCUGGGGGCAGUCCUGGCAAUUCUUCCAGAAAUACGUCUAGAAAUUCCCUCAUAAUUGGAAUGUCAGAAAUUCUUAUUUUACCAUUUUUCAAAUUUAUCACAUAGGCAAGGUAUGAUGUAAAACCUUUCUUUAGUAGUUUUCUCGCAACCAUACUCGAGAUCAUAUUUGUAAAGUUGGAAAUUUUCUCACCCUUAAAGACCAUUGUUUCACCCUUAGCCCCUUGGAAGGUUACUAUUUUUGUAAAGCAGUCUAGAGGAGCCUUAUUUUUGCCCAACCAAUUCAUACCUAUAAUUAUAUCAAAAUCACUUAAUUCUAUGGGUAUUAAAUAUGCUUUUAGUUCACACCCAUUCAUGUUAAUUCCCACCCCUUCAAAUACAACAUUUGUUUCCACAGUUUCACCCAAAGGUGUCCGAAUAAUAAAUCCUUUCUCUACCCUUUUUGUUUCCUUACUCAAUUUGGCUACAUUUUUAUUUGCUAUAAAAGAGUGAGUGGCACCAGAAUCAAACAAAACAUGUAUUUGAUAGUCAUUCAUUUGCAGCAUACCUGCCACCACAUCUGAUGCUGCUCUGACAUCCUCCUGGGUCAUUUGGAAAACCCUUCCUUGAUCUCUUUCAUUUUGCACUCUGGGUCGUCUCUUAUUUGAGUUAGCUCCUGACUAAGUCGACCUUCUCGGUCUGUUUACUGUGAUAGACUGCUGAUGACUCUGACUUUGCUGCCUAUAUCUCUGAGAUUGUUUAGUGUUUAACUGGGGGCAUUCCCUUUUAAAGUGACCCUUCUCACCACAGUGAUAACAUCCUCUUCCCAAGUACUGACAGGCGUGCCUCCCUCAGUUUCGGCGGUGCGGUAGGCGGUCGGCCAAUGUCUUCAGUCGGUGGGCUAGAGGGACCGGCGGUCGGUGGGCUGGAGGGACCAACGCCAUUAAAUAUACAUCUUUUUUCCUUCUUUACUGCUGUAUGUUAGGCGGGGAAGAAAGGGGAACAAUGCCGUUCAAAACGGCACCGUUUAGCCCUUUUCUGUUUUUUUUUUUUUUGCAUGGGCUGGUUACUGUGCACAUAGUAACCGGGUUACUGUGUGUACAGUAACCAGAGAAUUAAUCUACGGGUUACUGCGCCAGUACUGCGCACAUAUUUUUUUUUUUUUUUUGUAUUUAUUAUUUUUUUAUGGGGACCCAAAAAUGGGUUACAACAGUUGCCCCCCUCUUUACAAUGCUUACGGAGCAAAGAUUUGUGCAUAGUAAGUGUUGUAAAGAAAAAAACAUUGGUCUUCCGAAACUGGUCGUCUCAAAAUUUGAUUGACCUAAAACUUGAAUCGGACCCAAAGUCCUGUGUAUGGUUGGGCUAAACUGAGAUUCCUUUCGCCAAUCCCCUUUAACCCGAAAAAAAGGAAAGAAUGUGAAGUGUGGUCUCAUUGUAAUGGGUGACCUACCCAGAAAAAUGUUGGUGAGGGCUCAAAGGCGCACUCAAAAGGAGGUAGGGUUAGAAAACGCACUACCUAAGGGAUGAGGGCUCAAAAGCGCACUCAAAAUGGAGGUAGGGUUAGAAAACGCACUACCAAAGGGAUGAGGGCUCAAAGGCGCACUCAAAAUGGAGGUGAGGGCUCAAAGACGCACUCAAAAGGAGUUGAGGGCUCAAAGACGCACUCAAAAGGAGUUGAGGGCUCAAAGGCGCACUCAAAAAGGAGGUGAGGGCUCAAAGGCGCACUCAAGAUGGAGUUGAGGGCUCAAAGGCGCACUCAAAGGAGGUAGGGUUAGAAAACGCACUACCUAAGGGAUGAGGGCUCAAAGGCGCACUCAAAAGGCGGUGAGGGCUCAAAGGCGCACUCAAAGGAGGUAGGGUUAUAAAACGCACUACCCAAGGAUGAGGGCUCAAAGGCGCACUCAAUAGGAGUGAGGGCUCAAAGGCGCACUCAAAAUGGAGGUAGGGUUAGAAAACGCACUACCUAAGGGAUGAGGGCUCAAAGGCGCACUCAAACGGAGGUAGGGUUAUAAAACGCACUACCUAAAAGAUGAUGUUGAAACAAUGAUUGUCAAUGUUGAAAAGCAAAUGCAUUAUGAUUGAUAUGCAUAUAUACUUACCUGAGAAAUAUAGGCCCCCAUUUCUUCAUGGUGUCUUUGUUUUCUCUCAAAAGUUGUAGUGUUGGUAGUAAACUUCGAUGGCUUUUCCACUUUUGCUUACUCGGGUUACAUAUUGUGAUCUUGACCUCUGGGAAGGGUUUGACGUCAUCAUACAUCUUUGUCCUUCACCCCAACAAGUAGAGUUACCAAUUUUGCCCGUCAUUUUCCUUAGAACAGGAAUCAUGGAGCCAGCCCUACCAUGUGUUUUUGAUUGCCCCCCAGCUUGAUCAUGCCCCCCAAGUGUUCAACUUGGGUUUAGUUUGGGGUGAGGAUAUGUGAAAGUAAGUUUGGGUUUUUUGUACAAUGAAAUAUUUUCAUGCAAAAUUUUUUGGAACUUCAAAGUUAUGCCAAUCACAAAAAUGAUUUUGAUAUUGGUUCAAAAUAAACUUGUUCUAAAAAUUCAAGUGAUUCCUACGGACAGGUUUCUUGAAGUGAUGAAAGCUUUUUGCUUUUGGUUUAAAGAUGAAGUGACAUCUGGUUGGUCACAAAAGGUUUAAAUUUCAAUUUGAGGGUUAUUGAGAACCGAAUUGAGUCAAAGCAUUUAUUUUAUUCGCAUGAAUAAUGAUUUGACUUGCACGAGAAAACACUGCAUAUCGAUCCAGAUUGCUUGCCUUUGAUCAGAAAGGGCUUUAUCAGGUAUGUAAUGUAGGCUUUGGCUAUUGGUUACGAAGAAAAUGGAUAUGUUGCAGGCUCAAAAAGGUGUUUAAGGGAUUUCAAGAUUAGGGAUCACUUGUGCUUGUUUCCUGACCUUUUGUCUUUUGGAUUUGUUGUUUUCAAAAUAGUCUUCAUGCCCCCCAGUGUCGGGUUUGGGCUUUUCUCUUUGUUUUCUUCGUUUUUGUUUGGUUGAGCACAAUCAUAUCAGUUGUUUGUAUGAGAAGCUCAAAUCUUUUAGAUCUUCUUUUCUUUUCUUACAUGAUCAAUUCCAGCACUCAUCUUCACUGCUUUGUCUGGAUGGUAAAAAUAACAAACUCUCUUAUUUUGCCCCCCAGUGUGGGGUGUGAUCCUAGUCAAGGUUAUUUCAAAAAAUAUUACUAGGCUCAAAAUGGGACUGCAAAGGAUAUUUUAGCCUUGUGAAAGGAUUAUCAAAGAUGGCCUUUCCUCAUCUCAAACUCAUGCAUUGAGGAUCGAUAGGUGUUGCUUUCAUGCGCGUAUGCAAAGUGAUUUAUUCAGUCAAAUAAAACUCAGCUUUUGAGUCACCUCAUAGUGUUGUUUGUCUUUAUUGUCUUUUUUUCUUUCAAGUUUUCUAGGUAUAUGUGUACCUAUUUAAGGAAUCACUUGAAUUUUCAAAAUGCAUUUGUUUUGGACAAAUAUCAACACGAUUUUUGUUUUUGUACUCACUUUGGAGGUCCCAAAAAAAAUCCUUGAAAACAUAUGAGAUUAAUGUAUGGGUUUGGAAGAAAGGAACACCAAAGGAUUCUUCAUGUUGUAGUGUUGUGAGCAAAGUUGCGCUCAAAAUGUUAUUUACAUAUAAUAACAACAAAGAAGAGUGUGAUGUGAACACAAGAAAACACAUGAUCUUAUUUCACAAGAGAAGCUCAUUAACAGAGAAAGUCUUAUUCAAAAGCAUUAACAAAAGGAAAUAACAAGGCAGGCUUCAUUCCUCUAUUUUGGCGAAUCUGUUCAUAGGCUAAACUCUUCUUAAAAGCUCUGCGUAGAGGACUCAAAGACAAUGCGGAACAACACCCCGGUCAAAAAUUCAAGCUAUCAUGCUGGACCAUUGAUGCUUUCCAAUUCCCCAAACAUUCCAUCCUAAUAUGCUUCAAGCAUGAUUAGGCAGCGGGUUCGUAUUCACAUUGGGGGUGUCUUCCAACUCUAUCCAACCAGCCUUGAUUAAUUGCAGAAGCUUUCUCUUGAAGGCGUUGCAGGUAUAGAUGCUAUGCCCAGUAAUACCGGCAUGGUAUUCACAUUUGAGUUCUGGCUUGUACCAAUUAGGAUAAGGUGGCUGCAGAGGUGUUAGAGGUUCUGGAGCUAUUUGCCCAAUGCUCAAUAGCUUUUGAUACAUCUCAUUCAGGGGUAAUGGUAGUGGAGGCAGUUGUUCUUGAACCCUUUGGAAAUUUCCAAUUUGGCUUUUGGCUUGAAAGUUUUGGGGUUUAGGUUUUUGGAUGUUGGCAAUUUGGGAUGGAGUAUGGUAAUUUUGGGAUGUAUUAUUUUUACCCAUGUAGCCAUCUUCAACAUGGUGAACCUCUUUUCUUUCGAAGCCUCUUUUCUCGGUUGGUGCAGAAAUUCUACCACUCUUGACACCUUGCUCUAUGCGUUCACACACUAUCACGGCAUCAGUGAAUUGUUGGGCUGAACUACCCAUCAUAUGUUCGUAAUAUGGUGCUUUGAGUGUGUUGGCAAAUAAAGAGACCAUCUCUUUGUCCAGAAGUGGGGGAUGUACUUGAGCAGCUAAUUCUCGCCAUCUUUGAGCAUAUUCCCUUAUGCUUUCUUUAUCCUUUUUCUCUAUAUUGGACAAACUGGUUCUGUCGGGCGCAAUGUCCAUGUUGUAUUUGUAUUGCUUGACGAAAGCAUCCACAAGAUUUUUCCAGUUGCGAAUUUUUGUGUUAUCCAAUCUCAUGUACCAACUCAAAGUUGCCCCACUUAAACUGUCUUGGAAAAAGUGCAUUAGUAGUUUUUCAUCAUGUACUACCUCAGCCAUUUUAUUGCAGUAGGACCUGAGAUGAGUCAUGGGGCAUUGUGUUCCACUGUAUUUGAUGAAUUCAGGAACACGAAAUUUCUUUGGGAUAACCACGUUUGGGACCAAACACAUCUCUGCUGCCCGUACCGGGUCAUAUAAGUCUACCCCUUCAAUGGCUUUGAGUCUGGCUUCCAGCGCCUCUAUCUUAGCUUGAUCAAUGCUAUCAGAUGACUUAGCCUUGUGGGACUCAUUAGCAGAUGCCUUCACAACUGUUGGGGAUGGUGCAGGUGUCGUUGACUGCACAAAUGUUGGAUUUUGCUGAGGUUCUUGACCAUGUUCGCUCAUUCUUUCCUCAGGCUGAACUGAAGUAGGAGCCGGAUCAAAGGUGAUCGGUUGAUUAGAAGGACCUUCAUCAGAGGUAUUUCUUAGUGUUUGCUUGAGUAAGCUAGUGAGGUGAGCCACACUUAUUUUCAGAGACUCCAACUCCUCGUGCAAAUAGGCAUCACGUUGAGCACGCUCUUCAUCUUCCAUGUUUCUUGCUCGAAGUCGGGUGUUGUAGACUUUUUGGGGACCUAUAUUUCAAUCUGACAUGUAUGCAUGUUAAAUGUAUGAACAUGUAAUCUAUAUGACGAACUCGCCCUUCGAGGGGUGACAUAUGGUCGCAACUCUUGUAUGAUGAAACAAGAAUCUUGAUUCUUGCACAAACUCUACAAUGAAAAUUUUCUGAGCGACGGUUAUUGUGUCACCCAUAAGUCUGGAGUUCAAGAAGGGCUUGCUCGGAUGCAAAACAAUGUGUACGGAGCAUACAUCCUAAAGGCAGGUUCUAAUAUUUUUAAGUGAGACAAAAGGUAGGUUUACUAUUUGGUCUCUAAAAAAGGACUCUCGUUGUCCCAGUGAUCGCCCUCGUGGAGGCAAUAUGGGGGCUUGUAGGCAGUGAGAUGGCACGUGUCCAACUAUUACCAGUCUAAGCACUCAACGAAGAGUUGGGGUUUACACAAACUUAAACCUUGACUAAAAGUCAUAAGGUAAGCUGCUAGUUCCCCCUAACCUGAAGCUUGUGUGUGCUUAAAAAAAAUUAACUAUGUGAUGCAUGAGAUAAAUAUGUACAAAAAUUAAAGCGCACAACUAAAUAUGAACAAAUAUAUAAAGAAAAUGCAUAUUUAAAAAUAAACACGCAAACCAAACAAUAAAACACAAUCAUCAACAAAAAACAAAGCUUAGUCACAAAGUCCCCAGUGGAGUCGCCAUUCUGUCGCACGUGUGCGCGGCGCGGCGAUCGUCCACCCUCAAGGAAAAAAUGGAAAAAUAUUUAUUCCUGGCAAAUAGGGAGAGAUAAGGAAUUCUUGUCUCUACAAGUGCAAAUAUGGACUGGGAGUCACCACCUAGUAUUCUGGUUACUAGGAACCCUAACUGGUCUUUAGAGAUCGGGUACGAAGACUGGUUGCGUAAAGGGAAGGUAUUAGCACCCCAACUACGCCCUACCUAAGGUAGGCUGCAUUGUUUUGUCUGAUAAAAUCUAAGGUCGUGUUGUGGUUUCUUAUUGUUCGGAAUACGCAUUACAUGUAAUGUCAUACCCCAGGUUCUAUUGUCCAAAAAAAAGAAUUAAAUAUCCGGAAUAUGCAUUACGUGUAAAGUCAUACCCCGGAUACUAAGAGAAACAAAAUAAAAUUUUUGUUGUUUUUGAAAUAUUGGCCAAUAUUCUCUUGACUUUAAUAAACUGGUUAUUAAAGCCAAAAUGCAUGCUAAAACAUUUUUUUUUGUGUAUGAAAAAAAUACAAUAUGAAUUUUUAGCUUUGAGACACUUGGCCGUAUGCACAAAAACAUUUUUUUUUCUUUUUUUAAUUUUUUGUAUUUUGUGGAAGUUUUUUUUUUUUUUACGAAAACCGGGUAUUUGAAAAAUCAGAUUUUUGUAUUUUUAACAACAUAAAAAAAUACCAUCAAAUAUUAAUCGAAAUGACAUAAAAAUUACACUAAAAAAAUUAUAAAAUACUGAAACAAAUAUUUUUGAUUUUUUUUCUUUGAAAUGGGCCGGAUCAGGCCCAAAUAUAUGGGUUGGGCCGAACCUGGCCCAAAGAAUGGGCUGGUCACUGUGCACAUAGUAACCGGGGGGUGCUGUACACACAGUGACCACAGAAUUAAUUAGCAAUGCACAGUAACCGGGGGUUACUGUGCACACAGUAAUGUGAAUUAAUUAGUGCACAGUAACUAGCUAAUUAAUUCUGCAGGACGUAAACGUUCUGCAUGAAUUGAAGCAAAAAAAAUGACGGGAAAGGUAGGACGUUACCUGGAGCUGUUGAUGCUGGCAGCAGCUGAUGCAGCAGGGGUGGCGGCGGCGGCGCUGGCGGUUCGCGGUGGCCGGUGGUUUUUCUUCUCUCUCUCUCCUCUGUUUUUUCCCGUUUUCUUCUCUGCCUCUUCCCUUCUUCUUCUCUGCCUUCUCUCCUCUCUUCUCACUCUAUUCUCCCUUCUGUUACCUCUUCUGUUCCCUCUCUCUGUCUGUCCUCCUUCCUCCUCUCUUCUCCUCCAUUUAUAGCCCGUGAGCAUGCGUUUUUUUUUUUUUCAUCGUGGGGUCAUGCGGCGGCUGGUCGGGCGUGGCUGUCCGGGCGUGCCUCCCUCAGUUUCGGCGGUGCGGUAGGCGGUCGGCCAAUGUCUUCAGUCGGUGGGCUAGAGGGACCGGCGGUCGGUGGGCUGGAGGGACCAACGCCAUUAAAUAUACAUCUUUUUUCCUUCUUUACUGCUGUAUGUUAGGCGGGGAAGAAAGGGGAACAGUGCCGUUCAAAACGGCACCGUUUAGCCCUUUUCUGUUUUUUUUUUUUGCAUGGGCUGGUUACUGUGCACAUAGUAACCGGGUUACUGUGUGUACAGUAACCAGAGAAUUAAUCUACGGGUUACUGCGCCAGUACUGCGCACAUAUUUUUUUUUUUUUUUUUUUGUAUUUAUUAUUUUUUUAUGGGGACCCAAAAAUGGGUUAUGGGUUACAACACCAAGUACUGACAGGUUUUCCACUUAUGACCUUCUCCUCGACAUAUAUAGCAUCGUCCAGGAGAAACCAUACAACUCCCGGGGUGUCUUUGUUCACAUUGAGCACAUCAAGGGUAGCCAAUUUCAAUAUGAUCAUUAUGCCCCUUUGUAGCUAUAGCCCUGGAAUGGGUUUGACCACUUCCUGACCUCCCACCGAUAUCCUUUUGGAAACUAGUUGACGUCCCCCCUUUCUUUUUGAAUUGAAGGAAUUGUUCGGCUCUACCUUUCUUUGGAAGUGGUGGCCUGCCUAAAAGUUCCAUAUCCUUUCGUUUUCCUGCACCCCUAUGACUCUAUUGGCCUUCUUCCAUACAAGCCUCCAAGGCCUGUGCUGCUUCAAUCAGUUCCCUUACUGUCCUGAAUUGCAAAGAAAUCAACCCCUGCUUCAAUUCUUGUCUGAAGCCAUCCCUUAACUUUUCUAUCAUGUGUUGUUCUGAUGGGACAUAAUGUGGUGCGAAUAGUGAGAGGUCAUGAAAUCAUCUCUCAUACUCAAGUACUGACAUUCCUCCUGUCUCAAGGCUAGGAAUUCUUGUUCCUUCAUCUUCCAAUGAUAUUUGGAGUAAUAGUGAUUCUCAAACUCUAUCUUGAAAUCAUCCUAGGAUAGGGUUUCUGUAGCCCUCCUCAACUGAACUGUCUCUCACCAAGUCAUAGCACCGUCUAAUAGUAAUUGAGUAGCACAAUCUACCCGUAAAUAAUGUGGUAUCUGAAUUUGAAUCAUGGUUUUUUCCACCUUUCUAAUCCACCUUCCCGCCACUUCAGCAUUAUAUUCAUCUAAGUAGGGUUCACAACCCAUUUCUCUCAUACUUUUCACCAAACGAACUAGUUGUACCACGUCAUUGGUAGCUAUAACUGCUUCUAAAACGGUUUGUAUGAUGGGUGCUGUUGCAAUAUCGCGGUCGCACAAAUUAAUUACCCUAGCUUCAAACACAACACACAAGAUAGUAUAGAGCAAGCAAGGGGUCAAUCCCAUGAGGAAGGUUCAAGUCAGAUUUUUAUGCUAGAUGAUAUGCAAUUUGGGGGGGGGGGGUUGGACGUUAUCUAGGCUAAAGCAAAAGAAAACAGAAAACUAUCAAACAAAUUUAAUAAAAUCAGAAAAUUAUCAAGAGAACAAACCUUAGUCGCAAGCACACAUCCACCUAUAGAAAUCAGAACUGAUCAUGGAAACGAAACAUCAAUUUAUAUUUUGAAUAUUUAUCUCUUCUUAACAUUGGUUAGUUAACGGAUCCGCCGUAUAACUAACGCUAACCAUCAAACAACCAUAGUGUCCGCACUAGUAAUUUAAUUCAAUGGCAGCCUUAAGAACUAGAUAAGUUUAUUAAUCAAGAAAACAUAAUUGUCCGUAGUCUAUUUUGAUUUGAUUGAAUGUUCUCCCUAAGAUUAAUAAUGUAGAUCCACCACAAUUAUUAAACUCAGUUGCUUCACAAGUUCAUAUACCAUAACUCCGGUUUUGAUAUCAAACUUAGCAAUAGAUUGUCUACAAUAAAAACUUAGAGUCCGCUCUAGCAAUUAAAAUAAACAAUCAUAGGAAAAAAAGCAUAGGAGAACAAACAUAUUCAUCAUAUAAACUGAAAAGAAAAGGUAAAAUAAAUCUCACAGUUCUUAAAAUCCGAAGGUUUCCAUGUCCUUGCAACCAAGAAAACGAGUUUAGCCUUGCAUGUUUGUUGAAUAACUAAUCAAAAAGAUGGAGGAAUGCAUGAUUUCGGGUUUUUAGAGAAGGGGGGGCAUUUUUCUCCUCUUGGCUAAUUGCCCCCUUCUCUUCUCUCAUUCUUUUUAUAUCAUAUGAAACCCUAGUCUCUAUUUUACAAAAUAAUCCUCUCUUAAGUAGACUAUUUACAUUUAAGUACUUCAAUAAUUAUUUUUCCUAAAAAAGAAGAAAUAGUCUAGCAUGAAAUAUUCAAGCUUUGACUUAGAGGAGCUAAAUUGCUAAAAUAAAAACUUGGAUAUUGGUUUAGAUGCUCCGGAACGUAAUUUGGACUCGUUUCUUCACGAAACCUAUUUGCUGGCAGAAUUCAGUUGUCAUCUUUGAAAAAUCAUAUCUACCUCAUAUGACAUCGUUUUUUGCUGAACUUUGGAGCGUUUAUAGGUCUUUGAGUCAGGAAUCCAACACAAUUUAGUUUUUAUCAAUUGGACUUUUGUAGCUUUAGAUAUUCAAGUCGGAAUGACCAAAGGUCAACACUGGCAGAUUGCGAGAUUUGACUUUGAAAGCUGCGAUUUCCAUGCUCUUCCUUAUUUUAUUGUCUUGCUUAGAUAUCCAGAAAGGUAUGGAUGUUAGCUUUUUAAUUCCACUAGAAUCACUUCAUUUUGACUUUUAGAGCUCAUGCUCUGCACAAAACAUCGAUUGAAGGUCAAAUAUGUCAAUUACCUCCAAUUUACUCCUUUUUGCAUCUUUCAUCCAAAAGUGCCUUCAAAACAUAAAACAAAGAAUAUCAAGGCAUUUUAUAUAUAAAACAUAUGCAAAACACUAGUUAAGUGUGGGUGAAACUAUCGAAUAAUAUGGUUGCAUCAGGUGCAGGUGGGGGUGCUGGCAUAGGAGUGGCAGCAUUAACCAUACCUUCCAUUACUGCUUUGACUAACUGGGCCAGGAACAUCGGAUCAACAUAAGAAACAUAUGGCCUUGCAGGUGUAGUCUAAGGGGGCUCCUCUACUCGUUCCCGUGGGGCUGAAAUGGUCGGUUGAACAUCCCCAGUUUGCCUUGAUGCCUGUCUAAUUUGAGGCCCCGUCGAUUCUUCAUGCCCUGCUUGAGUCGAUACUACCGAUGCAUGUGAAGCAUUAUCUUCCAAAGGGCUCUCUUCUUGCCCCUCAGAAAAGUCUAUAUCUCUAUUCCCCCUCCUUGUAGAGGAUAAAUCUAUUCUAAUCUCUUGACGGGUACGUACCAUCCUGCAAUAAAUUAAUGAACAUCAACAACCUCUUUUGAUUUCUUACCCGAACCUAUACCACGACUCUGAUACCAACUGUAACAGUCCAAAGUGUACGACUUGAUUAAUGUUAAAAGAUCCCAACAUAUCCUCUUUAUUUGAGGGUAGUUUUGUUUUUCAUUUCCAAAAAUUUAGCAGAGUUUCGUUUGCAUUUUGGACAUCUCAAGUUAUCGACUUUUAUCAAUUUACUCAAUCAACCCAUCAUCACAAGAUCUUAUAAUUCUGGACCUUAUAUCAAACCUCAAAAUUCCACACCUCAUACAAUCCACACAAUAUAUAUAUCCUACGAGCAAGUUCAAUAUGAACAUAGUCCGACACAUCAUAUCAUAAAAUUUAAAAGAAAAGGAAUACUAACAUGCAAAGAAAGUAUUUACAAUAUAAGUGUUCUUAAAUAUUUCAAAAGGGUUAAUUACAAGAUAACUAAAAUACUACAUGCUCAGCUAAACCUUUGUAAAUACAUCAAGGCAUACACAAAAGUAUACUACAUAAACAUGUUAAUUCCUUUUUGUUUUAAGUUAAAUAUUUACAUAAGCUUCACAAUGUAGAGUCCUAAACUAUUGAUCUUCCUGGAUAUUUGAUGGACCUGUUACAUAAAUAAACAUACCAUUAUGUUGAUAAAGAAUAUAUAUAUGCUCAUGUAAUGAAUACAAAUGAAGUAUUAACUUUCUAUCGGAUCCAUAAGAAUUCUAACAGAGAACUUAUAUUUUGCUUGUAAGUCUUUUAAACCCAAUUAACACUCAUUUGUACACUCUUAAUUUGAAUACUCUAAUUUACUUGCAUGAAAUGGGUGACCUUGCAAAGUUUAAUCUUGUAAUUCAUUUCCCGGCAUUCCUAUCACGGAUGCCAUUAGCCGAAGCUAAUCUUGUAAUUCAUAUCCCGGUAAUCCUAUCACGGAUGUCAUUAGCCGAAGCUAAUCUUGUAAAUCAUCUCCCGACAAUCCUAUCACGGAUGCCAUUAGCCGAAGUUAAUCUUGUAUUUACGCUAGACUUUAUUUACAUUGAACACGACAUUUAUUGUAAUUGCAUUCACCAGAAGAAUUUUAAAUUGUAUAAGAGCAAAUAGGAGGAAAAUCACGAACCUGCUUUGCUUGUCUCGCAACCUCCCCUAACAGAAGAUCCAAUCCUGGUUGCUCCUCCUGAAUCAUAAGGAAGUUUUUGGUUAUGAUUCCUUCAAGCCGAUACUAUAGAGAAUCCAUAUUCGUCCAUUACUUAUAUGUUACUUUCUAUGCAUGUUCAUUUCCUCAUAAUAUCAUACAUACAUAUAUCAUGUAUAUUUUCAGAGUUAGUCUCUCAAUGUGCAAGUGUUCGUAUGACACAAUUCUUUUAUAUUCUUAUAUAUAGUAUUCACGUGAAAGUCUACUAUUAGUGUCUAAUUUUCAACUAUUACUGUCCAAUUUUUAAUUGUUACUGUCCAACCGUUACAGUCUAAUUUUGAACUGUUACUGUCUAAUUUUCAACUAUUACUGUCCAACCGUUACUGUCUAAUUUUGAACUGUUACUGUCCAAACACUCAUCAAAUUUUUAACUAUAUCUAAAGUUCUAAAACUUCAUUUUAAGUGAGAUUAAUCUCGUUAGAAAGCUAAGACACGAGGCUACAAGUUCUCUGAAGGGAGGAGAACCCACUUUUGCCUCCAAGAUAGUCAAAAUUGCUCAUUAAAUAGUUAGUCGUACUGCCCUACAUAAUCAGUCACGACUCAGUCUCAGUUGGUAACCCAUAACUAGAGUUCUACAUCUCCAAAUUGAGCAAGACCAGUUUCCUUGGUUAGCUAACAUUCAAAUCUACAAUUUCUAUGAGAAACCCGAUCCUAUCCCCUCGUCCUCCUACUCAAAAUCUCAUCGAAUGUUAGGAGACAAGUCUAUCCAGGUUCGUCUCCCCCCUCCCCUUACACAAUACUUUCAUAAACUACAUACCACACACAUAAAUGAACUUAAUCUCAACAAUAAGUACUUUUUCCCCAAUUUAUGUCUAAGAACCCUAACCUAUGAUUCAAUAUCAAGGCAUCAAUUCUUUAUCGAAUUAAAAAAAAUAAAUUUUUUUUAAGAUCAUGUUUAGAAUACCUUACUCGGUACAAAUUACGAUUUUGAUCUUCAACCAGUAGAAGAUUUUCAACUCCCUCCUUUCUUUUCUUCUUGGUAAUCAUUUGCUCUCAAGUGUUUAUCCCAUCUAUAAGCUCUUAAUCUUGCAUGGGUUCUUGAAAUUUUAGUGUUUCUAUCUUGAUUUCUCAAGAAGGGGUAUAAAACUCCCUAUCUUCUCUCCUUAUGGUUCCUAUAGAUUUUUUUGGUGAGUAGAGAGUAUUGAUACUCUAUAUUUUCCUUUAUUUGCAUUUAGGCCCCCAUUUUUAUUUAAGUGUAUUAUUCUCUUCAAUUAAAUCCAACCCUUAACAGUACCAGGUUUAUUAUAAUGUCUCUAAUUAUUUCAUCCGGAAAUUUAUAUUCAAAAAUUUCUGAAUUUCUAUUUUUAUUUAAUGAUAUGCAUGAAUUUCUUCACUUUUACUUAUUUAUUAUAUAUAUAAUUUUUUUAUCCCGGGGUUUACAAAUAUAUUGGUGGAGAUGUGGGAUCCAUAGGUGUCAUUAUCUGGGGAGCCAUAUGUGGCGGCAUUAAUGGGGCCAUAGGUGCUGGCAUACCUUGGCCAAUGUUUGAUGUCUCACCAUGAUAUCCAAGAUUGUUCAUAAGAUAAUCUUUCAUAGAAUCCAUUUGUUGUUUCAUUUCAAAAAUAAAAUCAUCUCUUUUCUUUAUCCCGCUUUGUUUUUCUUUAUCUCUUUUUGCAAUGCUCGAUAAGAUGAAUUAGGAUAUGGUGACUUCACCGAGUAGGAAUGUGAUGAAGAACUUGUAUUCACUAUAGAUUUUGGCAUACGAGGUGCACAUUAUACCCUACCCUAUUGUAACUCCUCCUGAAGCCACACACCAAGCUGCUCCAUCAAAUGAAGGAUGAUUUUCCCGAUUAGUUCCAUACUUUGAAAUCAUCUCCUUAUCAUUUUCCUAAAAAUAAAAUACAUGCAAUAAUAAAUUCAUUUGAAUGUCAAAUAAUAUUUAAGUUAUAUAAAUAAAUAAAUAAAAUUACAUACAAUCACUUUUUUAGACUUGCUGUCUACAAAGAUGCUAGACUGCUUAGUACUCUGAUGCAAAGCUGAAAAGACAUCAUCUCAUGAAGGUUUUUUUUCUACCAAGUUGCUCUUGCUAGGAAUUAUGAAAGAACAUGUCCUUCAUGAACUCUCACAAGUCUCUCACCAUUUUAACGAUCUCUUGUAUUGUUCUGUGUAAUUCAACACCUUCGAUUCAGACCUAGAUUUCAGGUAGAAAUCUUGAUGUGAAAAACAAAAUUAGGGUUCUUUUUAUAUAUACCUUUACAGAUUUGUUUUGAAGUGAAAAUGGAACAUAAUUAUUCAGACUACUAAAAUUAUGGAACUAGUAAGGCCUUAAUGGCAUUGAACUAGACAUGGGAGAGAUUUAAAUGCAUGGUCCCUGCAUUCUUGAUUAUGUUUAAAAACGUCCUCGUCCCUUUUUACCUCACUUUUUCUAGUUUUGAUCAAGUCUUUCCAUUUCGUUAUGUUUCGUCUGGAAUGGCCGAGACAUUUCAUACGUAUUCAAAAAACAGAACAAUUUUCAUCUCAUUUCAAAUCUCGGUCCGUUCUGAAUUUUUUGGCUAAAUUUCAGCCGGAAUGUUUUGCUUUUAUUCCACAUAUUCCAUUCUAGUAUUGAAAAGCUAUUGAAUCAAAUUGAACCUGGUUCAAUUUAAUUAAUUAAACCACCCAAGUAUAAAAAAAAAAUUUAUUACUAUUUUCAAUAAAAAUGAUAUUAAAAAUAAUAUUAAAAAUUAUUAUUACUAUUUUCAUUUACAAUGAUAUUAAUUUUUUAAAAUUAGAUUUAUCACUAAUAUAUAUGGUUUAUAUUCAUGUUUUUUUUUUCAUAUUUAUACUAUGUAGGAAUUUGAGCAAAACAAGGGAUGCUUUAGAUCCCAUUAGUCUUGAUAACGUUGACUUAACUUUAUAUUUAAAAUAUUUGUGUUAAAACAUUUCUUUCAUAAUAUUUUGAUAUUUUGUUUAAGUUGAAUUACUUUAAGUUAAAGAUCUAUUUAAUUUUGAUUAUUUAGAAAUAUUUUAAAAUUUGAAAUUUUAUUUGUUUGACAUUGUGUUUGUAUUGCAUAAUUUAUAAUUAAUUUAUCUUGAAUUUUAAUGAUGUUUGUUGAAUAUGUAUAUAUGAACAAUAUAACUCCAAAACGGCAUGCCGAAACACUCUGAAACUGAAACAUUCCAUUCCAAUUAAAAAAAAACCCACCUACCGGAACAGAAUUGACAACCUUGGUUUUGAUUGUAUUUCCAAUUCAAAUCGUAAUUUAUAUGUAUGAAAAGAACUUUUUUUGCCAUCAUUUUUUUUUCUUCUGCGUUCCAUUAUUAUUUCUUUUCAAUUUUUAUAAUUUUUAUUGUAUAAUUCAAAUUUUGUUAGUGUUAUGAUGUUGUAGACUUCACGAUAAUAUUUAACAUCAUUAACAUGUAAUGAAGAUAAAAAUCAAACCUGCAAAGAUUAAAAUUAGUGCAAAAACAUGUAGAACAUUUUAAACACAAAACCAAGAAUACGUAACUUAAUUGAACAAUUAAGAGUUGGAAUACCUGAAUUUUAAUCCCUUGUCCUAAAAAAAUAAAUAAAAAGUGGAAUUAGGGGUAGCAAUAGAUAACUAACAGAGUUUUAUAUCAGGGAUGAUAAUUUAAUCUGAACUCGAUAGAUACCAACCUGAUUUGAAUGAAUGGAUGAAUAUUUUUUGUACUUGAUGGAUAAUGGAUAGAGUAUGGAUGUUGUGAAACACGACCUGAAACCUAUCCAAACCUAAAGUGGAAUAUAUUUGUAUAUUAUAUAAGUAUAUUUGUAAAAUACUUAGAUUUUUUAAUAGAAUAUGAUACAUACAUAUCUUGGUAUUGACAUAAUACACACUUAUAUAUAAACUAUUUUAUUUUUUAUUGAUUAAUAAAUAAUAGUAGAUAAUAAAUAACUAUUUGAUACCUGAAAUCCGAUGGAUAAUGAGUAGAGUAUGGAUAUCAAGAAAUCCAACCCGCGAGUAUGCAUUGUCAUCCCUGCUUUAUACUAUCUAUACCCGAAUUCAAAUCUAAAAUAACUACUCGAGCCUGAACGGGUAUGGGUUUUUGAUACCCGAACUUGAAUGCUAUAUUUUACAGCUAUUAGUACAUAAUUAGCUUGCCAUACAUGUAAUUUUCUCAAACUUUAAUGUUAUUUAUUUAUUUCAGGGCAGGUUCGGGGAGAUCAAUAUCCAUACUCUACGCGUACCUGACUUUUUGCAUUUGAAUUUUACUCGAAACUCGAUUGAGUCUAAAAAUUUUCUAUUUGAAUCGAUUCGAGUUAGUAUUCAUAGGUAAAACUGUCAUCAUAAGUAUAAUCCAAAUACCAUAAUCUUUGGCAAUGAUAUGCUUUGCUAUUAGUUCUACCAUGACAACUAACAAAACUAUCACACCCAACAAAAAAAGCUAUGAAAUCCUGUUAAAGAAUUAUCUCAAUCCAAUAAUUUAAGUUGUUAUGUAAGGUUCCAAGAUAUAAUUUAUAUUAUUCUCUAACAUCCCCCCUCAAGUGAAAGUCAUUUGGACUCGAAACUUGCACAAACUCAUAUUAUACUGUGCUUACUUUUAUAGAAUAAAUAGGAAUGGUAAGAUUCGAAUUUAUAAUUACUUGAUCAUCAAGACUCUGAUAACAUGUCAAAUAAUCAUUUCAACCUAAUUACUUAAAUUGUUAGAUAAAAUUUCUAAAUAAAUCUGAUAUUAUUCUAUAAUAAAUCUGAUAUUAUUUGUGUAAGGGCAUAUUAGUGCCCUCACAGAGAAGCUAAGUAGAGUGGCGAGAACCGGACGACGGAAAGAGUUGGAAGAAAAAAGGCUAGAAGCUAGAUGCUAGAGCAUGAAGCUAUGGACCAAUCUAUGAACUUUUAAGAGCAAGUGGAGACGAACAAUUCUAUCGGAGAACCCCCAAGUUUCAGCUACGCAGAGCAAGUUGUUGUUUGGAGCCCCUUCUACUUUAUAAAUUCUGAAGAGGCAAGAAAAAGAAGACUUUCAUCUUUUUUCGAGAGACAGAAGGCAUGCUAAUGAAACUAGGGGUGGGGGAGUUUGUAGGUGAAGACCACAGAUGAAGCACACACGGGGAAGGAAGAAUUAGAGCUUCGUGACAAACCUAAGAUUUUUGAAUUGUUCUCUUUCUUUUCAUGGUCAUGCAGCAGAUUAUCCUACGUAAACUCACCAUCACCACAAACAAGGAAGAGAUAAGAGAGCUGUUAGUCAGCAAAAUCUGCUGCAACUUGGUCUCCCUUGUUCUAUAAAUGGCUGCUGAUGUCGAGACUCAAAAAUCACUUCAAUUUCAAGAUCAAGAUUGAGUUUAUACACUAAUUCUUGCAUUAAUAUCACUACUACUGCCAUUGAGACCAUGGCCUACAAGACAUUUCUCUUUGUUUCUCUCGUGAUUGCUGCAAUAUUGGCAGCCCCAGUUGCUGAAGCUCAGCUUGGGCUUAUUGGCGGUCUUCUGGGUUUGAUCCGCAUCCAAGGGACUCUAUUUUGCACUGCCGAUGGCAAUAUUGGUGCUAAUGGCACAGCAACCCCUGUUUUCCCUAGUAUGCUUGCCCUGAUUCCUCUUCCUUUUCUUUUUUUUUUUCUUUUUUUUUUCUUUUGAUCGAUAGUAAAGUAUCCUCGGACCAGAUUGAUUGUCAUGAUUACAUAGUUACCAUUCAUCACAUACGACAUCGUCGAAUGCAAUUUGACUUUGUUCUUCUUCUUAUCUUGCUUAUAAAGUUGUAAUUACAGUAACGGGUUUUUUCUUGCAGAUGCUCUCGUGCAGUUGCAAUGUGGAGGAAAUGUGGUUUCUACAUCAACCACCAAUGGAUCUGGGAUGUUUUCUAUUUUGUUGGAUCCUCUAAAUUAUAUUCUUUCCUCGGUAUUGAGCGACUGCAACCUGAAGGUCGAUACACCGCUGAUCAGCUGCAACUCGAGUCUCCCUGCUGUCGGUGGCCUCCUAUCACCCUUACGGUUCAUCGGGAACACUGCUCUAGGAGCCCUCCUGAGUGUUGCAAACAUCAUCCCUGCCGGAUUCCGAUUCGUGCCUUUAAAUUAAGGAGACCACUGUAGCUGAAGGCGGCAUUAUUAUUAUUAUUAGUAUGGCCAUUGCUAUGUACUACUUUAUAUGAAUAAGGCCGUUGUAUUAUUUGUGUGUACUGUUUAUUGUUUUUUCUUUCUUCCCAAGGAAUAAAGGUCAUGAUUGGCCACGCAUCAUCUAUAUGUAAUAUUUUAGCGAGUCUAAAUUAUGAGGGGCCUUACUCAAAAAAUGUAGCAAGUAAUUCGAUGCAUAUAAAACUAAAAUUUGUUGCUAAAAACAUUUAGCAACAAAAUUAGCAACAUAGAAAGUAUUACAUGCAGAUUUUUUUGUGUUGAUUUUUCAAUAAUGGAUUAGUCCGUUGCUGAUUUAUCAACAAUGAGUAAUUUAUUGCUCACAAUAGAUUAUUAAUAAAUCAGAAGAAUAUGUUGCUGGUUCGAUCUGUGAAUGAACCAUGGAUUUCCCAUUGAAUUAUUUAUAACCAGCAACGGAAAAUCCGUUGCUGAUGAUAUAGUUUUUAUUAAAUUAAUUUAUAAUUUUUAUCAAAACGACUUUUAAUUUUUUUAUUAAUUAUUUAUGGAUAUUUUAAAAGUUGUAGAAUAUAAAAAAAAACAUUAAUUAAUAUUUAAAAUUACAAUACAAUAAUAAAUGGAAUAAAAAUAAAAUUCAUAAUAUAAUUAAAAAUUUAGUUAAACUUGCACUGAUGCAAAUAAAUCAAAAUACAAUAAAAAGAUAGAAUUAUGGUGCUUGUUGUGGAGAUAAUUCAUGAUACUGUGGAUCAACAUAAGAUGAAUUAUGAUAUGAUGGUCGAGGUGUAGGUCAAUAUUGUAAGAGUCUGAAGUGUACAACUCGAUUAAUGUUAAAAGAUCCCAACAUAUCCUCUUAUUUGAGGGUAAUUUUUUUGUUUUCAUUUCCAAAAAUUCGGCAGAGUUUCAUUUGCAUUUUGGACAUCUCAAGUUAUCGACUACUAUCAAUUUACUCAAUUAACCCAUCAUCACAAGGUCCCAUAAUUCCGGACCUUAUAUCAAACCUCAUAAUUCCACACCUCAUACAAUCCACACAAUAUAUAUAUAUAUAUAUAUAUAUAUAUAUAUAUAUAUAUAAGUUCAAUAUGAACAUAGUCCAACACAUCAUAUCAUAAAAUUUAAAAGAAAAGGAAUACUAACAUGCAAAGAAAGCAUUUACAAUAUAAGAAGUGUUCUUAAAUAUUUCAAAAGAGUUAAUUACAAGAUAACUAAAAUACUACAUGCUCAGCUGAACCUUUGUAAAUACAUCAAGAUUUACACAAACAUAUACUACAUAAACAUGUUAAUUCCCUUUUAUUUUAAGUUAAAUAUUUACAUAAGCUUCACAAAGUAGAGUCCUAAACUAAUGAUCUUCCUGGAUAUUUGAUGGACCUGUUACAUAAAUAAACAUAAUUAUAUUGGUAAAGAAUAUAUAUAUAUAUAUGCGCUCAUGUAAUGAAUACAAAUGAAGUAUUAACUUUCUAUCGGAUCCAUAAGAAUAUUAACAGAGAACUUAUAUUUUGCUUGUAAGUCUUUUAAACCCAAUUAACACUCAUUUAUAUACUCUUAAUUUGAAUACUCUAAUUUACUUGCAUGAACUGCAUCACCUUGCAAAGUUUAAUCUUGUAAUUCAAUUCCCGGCAAUCCUAUCAUGGAUGCCAUUAACCGAAGCUAAUCUUGUAAAUCAUCUCCCGGCAAUCCUAUCACGGAUGCUAUUAGCCGAAGCUAAUCUUGUAUUUACGCUAGAUUUUAUUUACGUUGAACAUGACAUUUAUUGUAAUUGCAUUCACUAGAAGAAUUUUAAAUUGUAUAAGUGCAAAUAGGAGGAAAAUCACGCACCUCCUUUGCUUGUCUCGCGACCUCCCCUAAUAGAAGAUCCAAUCCUGGUUGCUCCUCCUGAAUCAUAAUGAAGUUUUUGGUUAUGAUUCCUUCAAGUCGAUAUUAUAGAGAAUCUAUAUUCAUCCAUUACUCAUAUGUUACUUUCUAUGCAUGUUCAUUUUCUCAUAAUAUCAUACAUACAUAUAUCAUGUACAUUUUAAGAGUUAGUAUCUCAAUGUGCAAGUGUUCGUAUGACACAAUUCUUUUAUAUUCUUAUAUAUAGUAUUCACGUGAAAGUGUACUAUUAUUGUCUAACUUUAAACUGUUACUGUCCAAUUUUGAACUAUUACUGUCCAAACACUCACCAGAUUUUUAACUAUAUCUAAAGUUCUAAAACUUCAUUUUAAGUGACAUUAAUCUCGUUAUAAAGCUAAGACACGAGGCUACAAGUUUUUUGAAGGGAGGAGAACCCAAUUUUGCCUCCAAGAUAGUCAAAAUUGCUCAUAAAAUAGUUAGUCCUACUGCCCUACAUAAUCAGUCACGACUCAAUCUCAGUUGGUAACCCAUAACUGGAGUUCUACAUCUCCAAGUUGAGCAAGACCAGUUUCCUUGGUUAGCUCACAUUCAAAUCUACAAUUUCUACGAGAAACUCGAUCCUAAUCCCCUCAUUCUCCUACCCGAAAUCUCAUCUAAAGUUAGGAGACAAGUCUGUCAUCUUUACUGGUAGGAAAAGGGCAUAUUUAGUUAGUCGAUCCACAAUGACCAAGAUUGCAUCAUUUCCCCUCUUUCCUUUGGGUAGUCUCGACACAAAGUCCGUUGUGAUCAUCUCCCACUUCCACUUAGGGAUUGGUAAUGGUUGUAACAGCCCUGCCGGUUUUUGGUGUUCUACUUUUACUUGUUGGCAAAUACUACAUUUUGCCACGUAACUAGCCACUUCUUUUCUUAUAUUUGGCCACUAGUAGUACUGCUUCACAUCCUUGUAAAUCUUAGUACUACCUGGAUGUACAGUGAACUUAGACUCAUGAGCUUCUCGUAGUAACUUUUGUUUAAGGGCUUUGUUGUCCGGCACAUAUAUACGUCCCCCUAACAUCAUUAUUUCAUCAUCACCCAUUCAAAAAAGAGUUUCACCUCCCGAUUCCAGUUUGAUUCUCACUUUUAACACCUCACCAUCAUGCUGUUGUGCCUUUAAUAUUUGCUCUCGAUAUCCUGACUUCACCCUUAGUUGAGCCAUUAAGGAUCCUUCCGGACUCACAUUUAAUAUUGUCCCCAACCUCUUUAGCUCAAUCAUAGUUUCCUCAUUCCAAGUCAUUGGUCCACCCCUAAUCACCUUGUCUUUACGGCUGAGAGCAUCCGCGACUACAUUCGCUUUUCCUGGAUGGUAAUCUAUAUUACAGUCAUAGUCUUUAAUUAAUUCUACCCAUCUCCGUUGUCGCAUAUUCAACUCCUUCUACGACAUCAGAUAUUUAAGGCUCUUAUGAUCCGUGAAAAUUUAGACCCGGGAUCCGUAUAAGUAAUGCCUCCAUACUCGUAAAGCAAAAACUACUGCUGCCAAUUCUAUGUCAUAAACUGGGUAAUUGACUUCAUGAGUCUUCAGUUGUCUCGAAGCAUAGGCAACUACUUUUCCAUGCUGCAUUAGAACACAACCCAAUCCUUUUCUUGAGGCAUCAUUGUAGACUACAAAGCCUUCUGUUCCGGAUGGAAGGAUUAGCACGGGGGUAGUAGUAAGCCUCCUCUUCAAUUCUUGAAAGCUCUCAUCGCACUCCUUUGACCACUCCCAUCUUAUGUUCUUCUUGGUGAGUCGUGUUAAUGGAGUUGCUAUCGUUGAAAACCCUUCGAUAAAUCUUCUAUAAUACCCUGCCAAUCCGAGAAAACUACAAAUUUCAGUUACCUUAGUAGGCCUUUCCCAUCUCAAAAUUGCUUCCACCUUUUGAGGACCCAUAAAAAUGCCUUUUGAAGACACUACAUGCCCUAAAAAGGUAACUUAUUUUAACCAGAAGUCACAUUUAUCCAACUUGGUAUACAACUAGCGGCUCCUCAGAGUCUGUAGUGUCUGUCUCAGGUGUUGUUCAUGCUUCUCAUAGGAUUUGGAGUAAACCAAGAUGUCAUCGAUGAAUACAACAACAAACUUAUCAAGGUAUGGUUGGAAUACUCGGUUAAUUAAAUCCAUAAAAAGUGCUGGAGCAUUAGUUAAUCCAAAGGGUAGCGCCAAGAACUCAAAGUGUCCGUAGUGAGUUUUGAAGGUAGGUUUUGGCACAUCUUGCCCCUUGAUUUGUAUUUGGUAGUAUCCUAAUCUUAAAUCAAUAUUUGAGAAUACUUUGGCACCCUCAACUGAUCGAACAAAUCAUCUAUCCGCGGAAGUGGAUUUCUGUUCUUUACCCUCACUUUAUUCAGCUGAUAGUAAUCUAUGCAAAGCCUCAACGUUCCAUCUUUCUUCUUCACAAAUAAUACAGGUGCCCCCUAAGGUGAGUUGCUUGGUCGUAUGAACCCUUUGUCUAAAAGCUCCUGUAAUUGAAUUUUCAACUCAUUCAAUUCUUUUGGGGCCAUUCUACACAAUGGUUGGGCUAUAGGAGACACCCCAGACAAUAUAUCUAUGGUGACUUCAACUGCUCUUUCUAGGGGCAGUCCUGGCAAGUUUUCCAGAAAUACAUCCGGAAAUUCCCUCAUAAUUGGAAUGUCAGACAUUCCUAUUUUACCCUUUUUCGAAUUUAUCACAUAGGCAAGGUAUGAUGUACAACCUUUAUUUAGUAGUUUUCUCGCAACCAUACCCGAGAUCAUAUUUGUAAAGUUGGAAAUUUUCUCCUCCUUAAAGACCAUUGUUUCACCCUUAGCCCCUUGGAAGGUUACUGUUUCUGUAAAGCAGUCUAGACGAGCCUUAUUUUUGCCCAACUAAUUUAUACCUAGAAUUAUAUCAAAAUCACUUAAUUUUAGGGGUAUUAAAUAUGCUUUUAGUUCACACCCAUUCAUGUUAAUUCCCACCCAUUCAAAUACAACAUUUGUUUCCACAGUUUCACCCAAAGGUGUCCCAAUAAUAAAUCCUUUCUCUACCCCUUUUAUUUCCUUACUCAAUUUGGUUACAUUUUUAUUUGCUAUAAAAGAGUGAGUGGCACCAGAAUCAAACAAAACAUGUAUUUGAUAGUCAUUCAUUUGCAGCAUACCUGCCACCACAUCUGAUGCUGCUCUGACAUCCUUCUGGGUCAUAUGGAAAACCCUUCCUUGAUCCCUUUCAUUUUGCACUCUGGGUCGUCCCCUAUUUGAGUUAGCUCCUGACUAAGUCGACCUUUCCGGUCUGUUUACUGUGAUAGACUAUUGAUGACUCUGACUUUGCUGCCUAUAUCUCUAAGGCUGUUCAGUGUUUAACUGGGGGCAUUCCCUUUUAAAGUCCCCCUUCUCACCACAAUGAUAACAUCCUCUUCCCAAGUACUGACAGGUUUUCCACUUAUGACCUUCUCCUCGACAUAUAUAGCAUCGUCCAGGAGAAACCAUACAACUCCCGGGGUGUCUUUGUUCACACUGAGCACAUCAAGGGUAGCCAAUUUCAAUACGAUCAUUAUGCCCCUUUGUAGCUAUAGCCCUGGAAUGGGUCUGACCACUUUCUGACCUCCCAUCGAUAUCCUUUCGGAAACUAGUUGACGUCCCCCCUUUCUUUUUGAAUUGAAGGAAUUGUUCGCCUCUACCUUUCUUUGGAAGCGGUGGCCUGCCUAAAAGUUCCAUAUCCUUUCGUUUUCCUACACCCCUAUGACUCUAUUGGCCUUCUUCCAUACAAGCCUCCAAGGCCUGUGCUACUUCAAUCAGUUCCCUUAUUGUCCUGAAUUGCAAAUAAAUCAACCCCUGCUUCAAUUCUUGUCUGAAGUCAUCCCUUAACUUUUCUAUCAUGUGUUGUUCUAAUGGGACAUAAUGUGGUGCGAAUAGUGAGAGGUCAUGAAAUCGUCUCUCAUACUCAAGUAUUGACAUUCCUCCUGUCUCAAGGCUAGGAAUUCUUGUUCCUUCAUCUUCCAAUGAUAUUUGGAGUAAUAUUGAUUCUCAAACUCUAUCUUGAAAUCAUCCUAGGAUAGGGUUUCUAUAGCCCUCCUCAACUGAACUGUCUCUCACCAAGGCAUAGCACUGUCUAAUAGUAAUUGAGUAUCACAAUCUACCCGUAAAUAAUGUGGUAUCUUAAUUUGAAUCAUGGUUUUUUCCACCUUUCUAAUCCACCUUCCCGCCACUUCAGCAUUCUGUUCAUCUAAGUAGGGUUCACAACCCAUUUCUCUCAUACUUUUCACCAAACAAACUACUUGUACCACGCCAUUGGUAGCUAUAGCUGCUUCUAAAACGGUUGGUAUGAUGGGUGUUGUUGCGAUGUCGCGGUCGCACAAAUUAAUUACCCUAGCUUCAAACACAACACACAAGAUAGUAUAGAGCAAGCAAGGGGUCGAUCCCACGAGGAAGGUUCAAGUCAGAUUUUUAUGCUAGAUGAUAUGCAAUUUGGGGGGGGGGUUUGGACGUUAUCUAGGCUAAAGCAAAAGAAAAUAGAAAACUAUCAAACAAAUUUAAUAAAAUCAGAAAAUUAUCAAGAGAACAAACCUUGGUCGCAAGCACACAUCCACCUAUAGAAAUCAGAACUGAUCAUGGAAACGAAACAUCAAUUUAUAUUUGAAUAUUUAUCUCUUCUUAACAUUGGUUAGUUAACGGAUCCGCCGUAUAACUAACCCUAACCAUCAAACAACCACAGUGUCCGCACUAGUAAUUUAAUUCAAUGGCAGCCUUAAGAACUAGAUAAGUUUAUUAAUCAAGAAAACAUAAUUGUCCGCAGUCUAUGUUUGAUUUGAUUGAAUGUUCUCCCUAAGAUUAAUAACGUAGAUCCGCCACAAUUAUUAAACUCAGUUGCUUCACAAGUUCAUAUACCACAACUCCGGUUUUGAUAUCAAACUUAGCAAUAGAUUGUCUACAAUAAAAACUUAGAGUCCGCUCUAGCAAUUAAAAUAAACAAUCAUAGGAAAAAUAAGCAUAGGAGAACAAACAUAUUCAUCAUAUAAACUGAAAAGAAAAGGUAAAAUAAAUCUCACAGUUCUUAAAUCCGAAGGUUUCCGUGUCCUUGCAACCAAGAAAACGAGUUUAGCCUUGCAUGUUUGUUGAAUAACUAAUCAAAAAGAUGGAAGAAUGCAUGAUUUAGGGUUUUUAGAGAGGGGGGGUUUUUCUCCUCUUGGCUUGCCCCCUUCUCUUCUCUCAUUCUUUUUAUAUCUAGAAACCCUAAUCUCUAUUUUACAAAAUAGUCCUCUCUUAAGUAGACAUUUACAUUUAAGUACUUCAAUAAUAUUUUCCUAAAAAGAAGAAAUAGUUUGCAUGAAAUCUUCAAGCUUUGACUUAGAGGAGCUAAAUUGCUGAAAUAAAAACUUGGAUAUCGGUUUAGAUGCUUCGGAACGUAAUUUGGACUCGUUUCUUCACGAAACCUGUUUGCUGGCAGAAUUCAGUUGUCAUCUUUGAAAAAUCAUAUCUCCCUCAUAUGACAUCGUUUUUGGCUGACAUUUGGAGCAUUUAUAGGUCUUUGAGUCAGGAAUCCAACACAAUUUAGUUUUCAUCAAUUGGACUUCUGUAGCUUUAGAUAUUCAAGUCGGAAUGACCAAAGGUCAACACUGGCAGAUUGCGAGAUUUGACUUUGAAAGCUGUGAUUUCCAUGCUCUUCCUUAUUUUAUUGUCUUGAUUAGAUAUCCAGAAAGGUAUGGAUGUUAGCUUUUUAAUUCCACUGGAAUCACUUCAUUUUGACUUUUAGAGCUCAUGCUCUACACAAAACAUCGAUUGAAGGUCAAAUAUGUCAAUUACCUCCAAUUUACUCCUUUUUGCAUCUUUCAUCCAAAAGUGCCUUCAAAACAUAAAACAAAGAAUAUCAAGGCAUUUUAUAUAUAAAACAUAUGCAAAAAACUAGUUAAAUAUGGGUGAAACUAUUGAAUAAUAUGGUUGCAUCAGGUGCAGGUGGGGGUGCUGGCAUAGGAGUGACAACAUUAACCGUACCUUCCAUUACUGCUUUGACUAACUGGGCCAGGAACAUCGGAUCAACAUAAGAAACAGAUGACCUUGUAGGUGUAGUUUAAGGGGGCUCCUCUACUCGUUCCCAUGAGGCUGAAAUGGUCGGUUGAACAUCCCUAGUUUGCCUCGAUGCCUGUCUAAUUUGAGGCCCCGUCGAUUCUUCAUGCCCUGCUUGAGUCGAUACUACCGGUGCAUGUGAAGCAUUAUCUUCCAAAGAGCUCUCUUCUUGCCCCUCAGAAAAGUCUAUAUCUCUAUUCCCCCUCCUUGUAGAGGAUAAAUCUGUUCUAAUCUCUUGACGGGUACGUACCAUCCUGCAAUAAAUUAAUGAACAUCAACAACCUCUUUUGAUUUCUUACCCGAACCUAUACCAGGGCUCUGAUACCAACUGUAACAGUCCAAAGUGUAUGACUUGAUUAAUGUUAAAAGAUCCCAACAUAUCCUCUUUAUUUGAGGGUAAUUUUGUUUUUCAUUUCCAAAAAUUCAGCAGAGUUUCGUUUGCAUUUUGAACAUCCCAAGUUAUCGACUUUUAUCAAUUUACUCAAUCAACCCAUCAUCAGAAGAUCCUAUAAUUCCAGACCUUAUAUCAAACCUCAAAAUUCCACACCUCAUACAAUCCACACAAUAUAUAUAUCCUACGAGCAAGUUCAAUAUGAACAUAGUCCAACACAUCAUAUCAUAAAAUUUAAAAGAAAAGGAAUACUAACAUGCAAAGAAAGUAUUUACAAUAUAAGUGUUCUUAAAAUUUCAAAAGGGUUAAUUACAAGAUAACUAAAAUACUACAUGCUCAGCUGGAACCUUUGUAAAUACAUCAAGGCUUACAUAAAAGUAUACUACAUAAACAUGUUAAUUCCUUUUUGUUUUAAGUUAAAUAUUUACAUAAGCUUCACAAUGUAGAGUCCUAAACUAUUGAUCUUCCUGGAUAUUUGAUGGACCUGUUACAUAAAUAAACAUACCAUUAUGUUGAUAAAGAAUAUAUAUAUGCUCAUGUAAUGAAUACAAAUGAAGUAUUAACUUUCUAUCAGAUCCAUAAGAAUUCUAACAGAGAACUUAUAUUUUGCUUUUAAGUCUUUUAAACCCAAUUAACACUUAUUUGUACACUCUUAAUUUGAAUACUCUAAUUUACUUGCAUGAAAUGGGUGACCUUGCAAAGUUUAAUCUUGUAAUUCAUUUCCUGGCAUUCCUAUCACGGAUGCCAUUAGCCGAAUCUAAUCUUGUAAUUCAUAUCCCGGUAAUCCGAUCACAGAUGUCAUUAGCCGAAGCUAAUCUUGUAAAUCAUCUCCCGACAAUCCUAUCACGGAUGCCAUUAGCCGAAGCUAAUCUUGUAUUUACGCUAGACUUUAUUUACAUUGAACAUGACAUUUAUUGUAAUUGCAUUCACCAGAAGAAUUUUAAAUUGUAUAAGAGCAAAUAGGAGGAAAAUCACGAACCUGCUUUGCUUGUCUCGCAACCUCCCCUAACAGAAGAUCCAAUCCUGGUUGCUCCUCCUGAAUCAUAAGGAAGUUUUUGGUUAUGAUUCCUUCAAGCCGAUAUUAUAGAGAAUCCAUAUUCAUCCAUUACUCUCAUAUGUUACUUUCUAUGCAUGUUCAUUUCCUCAUAAUAUCAUACAUACAUAUAUCUUGUAUAUUUUCAGAGUUAGUCUCUCAAUGUGCAAGUGUUCGUAUGACACAAUUCUUUUAUAUUCUUAUAUAUAGUAUUCACGUGAAAGUCUACUAUUAGUGUCUAAUUUUCAAAUGUUACUGUCCAAUUUUCAAUUCUUACUGUCCAACCGUUACAGUCUAAUUUUGAACUGUUACUGUCUAAUUUUCAACUAUUAUUGUCCAACCGUUACAGUCUAAUUUUGAACUGUUACUGUCCAAACACUCAUUAGAUUUUUAACUAUAUCUAAAGUUCUAAAACUUCAUUUUAAGUGAGAUUAAUCUCGUUAGAAAGCUAAGACACGAGGCUACAAGGUAUCUGAAGGGAGGUGAACCCAGUUUUGCCUCCAAUAUAGUCAAAAUUGCUCAUUAAAUAGUUAGUCGUACUGCCCUACAUAAUAAGUCACGACUCAGUCUCAGUUGGUAACCCAUAACUAGAGUUCUACAUCUCCAAAUUGAGCACGACCAGUUUCCUUGAUUAGCUAACAUUCAAAGCUACAAUCCCCUUGUCCUCCUACUCAAAAUAUCAUCGAAAGUUAGGAGACAAGUCUAUCCAGAUUCGUCUCCCCCCUCCCCUUACACAAUACUUUCAUAAACUACAUACCACACACAUAAAUGAACUUAAUCUCAACAAUAAGUACUUUUUCCCCAAUUUAUGUCUAAGAACCCUAACCUAUGAUUCAAUAUCAAGGCAUCAAUUCUUUAUCGAAUUAAAUAAAAUAAAUUUUUUUAAGAUCAUGUUUAGAAUACCUUACCCGAUACAAAUUACGAUUUUGAUCUUCAACCAGUAGAAGAUUUUCAACUCCCUCCUUUCAUUUCUUCUUGUUCAAUUUCUUGGUAAUCCUUUGCUCUCAAGUGUUUAUUCCAUCUAUAAGCUCUUAAUCUUGCAUGGGUUCUUGAAAUUUUAGUGUUUCUAUUUUGAUUUCUCAAGAAGGGGUAUAAAACUCCCUAUCUUCUCUCCUUAUGGUUCCUAUAGAUUUUUUUGGUGAGGAGAGAGUAUUGAUACUCUAUAUUUUCCUUUAUUUGCAUUUAGGCCCCCCUUUUCCUUUAAGUGUAUUAUUCUCUUCAAUUAAAUCCAACCUCAAUAGUACCAGGUUUAUUAUAAUGUCUCUAAUUAUUUCGUCCGGAAAUUUAUAUUCAAAAAUUUUUGAAUUUCUGUUUUUAUUUAAUCAUAUGCAUGAAUUUCUUCACUUUUACUUAUUUAUUAUAUAUAUAAUUUUUUUAUCCCGGGGUUUACAAAUAUAUUGGUGGAGAUGUGGGAUCCAUAGGUGUCAUUAUCUGGGGAGCCAUAUGUGGCGGCAUUGAUAGGGCCAUAGGUGCUGGCAUACCUUGGCCAAUGUUUGAUGUCUCACCAUGAUAUCCAAGAUUGUUCAUAAGAUAAUCUUUCAAAAAAUCCAUCUGUUGUUUCAUUUCAAAAAUAAAAUCAUCUCUUUUCUUUAUCUCUUUUUGCAAUGCUCGAUAAGAUGAAUUAGGAUAUGGUGACUUCACCGAGUAGGAAUGUGAUGAAGAACUUGUAUUCACUAUAGAUUUUGGCAUACGAGGUGCACCAUAUACCCUACCCUAUUGUAACUCCUCCUGAAGCCACACACCAAGUUGCUCCAUCAAAUGAAGGAUGAUUUUCCCGAUUAGUUCAAUACUUUGAAAUCAUCUCCUUAUCAUUUUCUUAAAAAUAAAUACAUGCAAUAAUAAAUUCAUUUGAAUGUCAAAUAAUAUUUAAGUUAUAUAAAUAAAUAAAUAAAAAUACAUACAAUCACUUUUUUAGACUUGCUGUCUACAAAGAUGCUAGACUGCUUAGUACUCUGAUGCAAAGCUGAAAAGACAUCAUCUCAUGAAGGUUUUUUUCUACCAAGUUGCUCUUGCUAGGAAUUAUGAAAGAACAUGUCCUUCAUGAACUCUCACAAGUCUCUCACCAUUUUAACGAUCUCUUGUAUUGGACUGUGUAAUUCAACACCUUCGAUUCAGACCUGGAUUUCAGGUAGAAAUCUUGAUGCUAUUUUAUGAUGUGAAAAACAAAAUUAGAGUUGUUUUUUUAUAUACCUUUACAGAUUUGUUUUGAAGUGAAAAUGGAACAUAAUUAUUCAGACUACUGAAAUUAUGGAACUAGUAAGGCCUUAAUGGCAUUGAACCAGACAUGGGAGAGAUUUAAAUGCAUGGUCCCUGCAUUCUUAAUUAUGUUUAAAAACAUCCUCGUCCCUUUUUACCUCACUUUUUCUAGUUUUGAUCAAGUUUGUCCAUUUCGUUCUGUUUUGUCUGGAAUGGCCGAGACAUUUCAUACCUAUUCAAAAAAAAGAACAAUUUUCAUCUCAUUUCAAAUCUCGGUCCGUUCCGAAUUUUUUGGCUAAAUUUCAGCCGGAAUGUUUUGCUUUUAUUCCACAUAUUCCAUUUCAGUAUUGAAAAGCUAUUGAAUCAAAUUGAACCUGGUUCAAUUUAAUUAAUUAAACCACCUAAGAAUAAAAAGCUUUUUUUAAUUACUAUUUUCAAUAAAAAUGAUAUUAAUAAUAAUAUUAAAAAUUAUUAUUACUAUUUUCAUUUACAAUGAUAUUAAUUUUUUAAAAUUAGAUUUAUCACUAAUAUAUAUGGUUUAUAUUCAUGUUUUUUUUCAUGUUUAUACUAUGUAGGAAUUUGAGCAAAACAAGGGAUGCUUUAGAUCCCAUUAGUCUUGAUAACGUUUGUUGUAACCCAUUUUUGGGUCCCCAUAAAAAAAUAAUAAAUAAAUAAAUACAAAAUGUGCGCAGUACGGGUCGCAGUAACCCGUAGAUUAAUUCUCUGGUUACUGUACACACAGUAACCUGGUUACUAUGUGCACAGUAACCAGCCCAUGCAAAAAAAAAAAAACAGAAAAGGGCUAAACGGUGCCGUUUUGAACGGCACUAUUCCCCUUUCUUCCCCGCCUAACAUACAGCAGUAAAGAAGGAAAAAAGAUGUAUAUUUAAUGGCGUUGGUCCCUCCAGCCCACCGACCGCCGGUCCCUCUAGCCCACCGACCGAAGACAUUGGCCGACCGCCUACCGCACCGCCGAAGCUGAGGGAGGCACGCCUGGACAGCCACGCCCGACCAGCCGCCGCAUGACCCCACGAUGAAAAAAAAAAAAACACAUGCUCAUGGGCUAUAAAUGGAGGAGAAGAGAAGAGAAGAGAGGAAGAGGAAGGAAGAAAGCAGAAGAAGAAGAAGCAGAGAAGAGAGUCCAACAUCACCACCGCAGGUAGCGUUUCCCGUCGUUUUUCUGUUCUGCAUGCAGAUGAAAGAUUAAUUAGCGAGUUACUGUGCUGUGCACAGUAACUCGCUAAUUAAUUCACGGUUACUGUGCAUGUCAUUUUGAUUAAUAUUUGGUGGUAUUUUUUUUUAUGUUUUUAAAAAUACAAAAAUCUGAUUUUUAAAUACCCGGUUUUCGUCAAAAACUUCCACAAAAUACAAAAAAAUUAAAAAAAAAAAUGUUUUUGUGCAUACGGCCAAGUGUCUCAAAGCUAAAAAAUUAUGUUGUAUUUUUUCAUACACCAAAACAAAAUGUUUUAGCAUGCAUUUUGGCUUUAAUAACCAGUUUAUUAAAGUCAAGAGAAUAUUGGCCAAUAUUUCAAAAACAAGAAAAAUUUUAUUUUGUUUGUCUCUUAGUAUCCGGGGUAUGACUUUACACGUAAUGCAUAUUCCGGAUAUUUAAUUCUUUUUUUUUUUUUUGGACAAUAGAACCUGGGGUAUGACAUUACAUGUAAUGCGUAUUCCGAACAAUAAAAAAAAACCACAACACGACCUUAGAUUUUAUCAGACAUUAAAACAAUGCAGCUUACCUUAGGUAGGGCGUAGUUGGGGUGCUAAUACCUUCCCUUUACGCAACCAGUCUCCGUACCCGAUCUCUAACGACCAGUUAAGGUUCCUAGUAACCAGAAUACUAGGUGGCGACUCCCAGUCCAUAUUUUCACUUGUAGAGACAAGAAUUCCUUGUCUCUCCAUUUUUUCUUAAGGAAUAAAUAUUUCCGAUUUUUUCCAUUGAGGGUGGACGAUCGCCGCGCCGCCGCACACGUGCGACAACUUUGACUUAACUUUAUAUUUAAAAUAUUUGUGUUAAAACAUUUCUUUCAUAAUAUUUUAAUAUUUUGUUUAAGUUGAAUUACUUUAAGUUAAAGAUCUAUUUAAUUUUGAUUAUUUAGAAAUAUUUUAAAAUUUGAAAUUUUAUUUGUUUGACAUUGUGUUUGUAUUGCAUAAUUUAUAAUUAAUUUAUCUUGAAUUUUAAUGAUGUUUGUUGAAUAUAUAUAUAUGAACAAUAUAACUCCAAAACGGCAUGCCGAAACACUCUGAAACUGAAACAUUUCAUUCCAAUUAAAAAAAAAAACCCACCUACUGGAACAAAAUUGAUAACCUUGGUUUUGAUUGUAUUUCCAAUUCAAAUCGUAAUUUAUAUGUAUGAAAAGAACUUUUUUUCCAUCAUUUUUUUUCUUGUGCGUUCCAUUAUUAUUUCUUUUCAAUUUUUAUAAUUUUUAUUGUAUAAUUCAAAUUUUGUUAGUGUUAUGAUGUUGUAGACUUAACGGUAAUAUUUAACAUCGUUAACAUGUAAUGAAGAUAAAAAUCAAACCUGCAAAGAUUAAAAUUAGUGCAAAAACAUGUAGAACAUUUUAAACACAAAACCAAGAAUACGUAACUUAAUUGAACAAUUAAGAGUUGGAAUACCUGAAUUUUAAUCCCUUGUCCUAAAAAAAAAAAAGAAAGUGGAAUUAGGGGUAGCAAUAGAUAACUAGCAGAGUUUUAUAUCAGGGAUGAUAAUUUAAUCUGAACUCGAUAGAUACCAACCUGAUUUGAAUGAAUGAAUGAAUAUUUUUUGUACUUGAUGGAUAAUGGAUAGAGUAUGGAUGUUGUGAAACACGACCUGAAACCUAUCCAAACCUAACGUGGAAUAUAUUUGUAUAUUAUAUAAGUAUAUUUGUAAAAUACUUAGAUUUUUUAAUAGAAUAUGAUACAUACAUAUCUUGGUAUUGACAUAAUACACACUUAUAUAUAAACUAUUUUAUUUUUUAUUGAUUAAUAAAUAAUAGUAGAUAAUAAAUAACUAUUUGAUACCUGAAACCCGAUGGAUAAUGAGUAUGGAUAUCAAGAAAUCCAACCCGCGAGUACGCAUUGUCAUCCCUGCUUUAUACUAUCUAUACCCGAAUCCAAAUCUAAAAUAAUUACUCGAGCCUGAACGGGUAUGGGUUUUUGAUACCCGAACUUGAAUGCUAUAUUUUACAGCUAUUAGUACAUAAUUAGCUUGCCAUACAUGUAAUUUUCUCAAACUUUAAUGUUAUUUAUUUAUUUCAGGGCAGGUUCGGGGAGAUCAAUAUCCAUACUCUACGCGUACCUGACUUUUUGCAUUUGAAUUUUACUCGAAACUCGAUUGAGUCUAAAAAUUUUCUAUUUGAAUCGAUUCGAGUUAGUAUUCAUAGGUAAAACUGUCAUCAUAAGUAUAAUCCAAAUACCAUAAUCUUUGGCAAUGAUAUGCUUUGCUAUUAGUUCUACCAUGACAACUAACAAAACUAUCACACCCAACAAAAAAAGCUAUGAAAUCCUGUUAAAGAAUUAUCUCAACCCAAUAACUUAAGUUGUUAUGUAAGGUUCCAAGAUAUAAUUUAUAUUAUUCUCUAACAUCCCCCCUCAAGUGAAAGUUAUUUGGGCUUGAAACUUGCACAAACUCAUAUUAUCUUGUGCUUAAUUUUAUAGAAUAAAUAGGAAUGGUAAGAUUUAAAUUUAUAAUUACUUGAUCAUCAAGGCUUUGAUAACAUGUCAAAUAAUCAUUUCAACCCAAUUACUUAAAUUGUUAGAUAAAAUUUCUAGAUAAAUCUGAUAUUAUUCUAUAAUAAAUCAAAUAUUAUUUUUGUAAGGGCAUAUUAGUGCCCUCACAGAGAAGCUAAGUAGAGUGGCGAGAACCGGACGACGGAAAGAGUUGGAAGAAAAAAGGCUAGAAGCUAGAUGCUAGAGCAUGGAGCUAUGGACCAAUCUAUGAACUUUUCAGAGGAAGUGGAGACGAACAAUUCUAUCGGAGAACCCCCAAGUUUCAGCUACGCAGAGCAAGUUGUUGUUUGGAGCCCCUUCUACUUUAUAAAUUCUGAAGAGGCAAGAAAAAGAAGACUUUCAUCUUUUUUCGAGAGACAGAAGGCAUGCUAAUGAAACUAGGGGUGGGGGAGUUUGUAGGUGAAGACCACAGAUGAAGCACACACGGGGAAGGAAGAAUUAGAGCUUCGUGACAAACCUAAGAUUUUUGAAUUGUUCUCUUUCUUUUCAUGGUCAUGCAGCAGAUUAUCCUACGUAAACUCACCAUCACCACAAACAAGAAAGAGAAAAGAGAGCUGUUAGUCAGCAAAAUCUGCUGCAACUUGGUCUCCCUUGUUCUAUAAAUGGCUGCUGAUGUCGAGACUCAAAAAUCACUUCAAUUUCAAGAUCAAGAUUGAGUUUAUACACUAAUUCUUGCAUUAAUAUCAGUACUACUGCCAUUGAGACCAUGGCCUUCAAGACAUUUGUCUUUGUUUCUCUCGUGAUUGCUGCAACAUUGGCAGCCCCAGUUGCUGAAGCUCAGCUUGGGCUUAUUGGCGGUCUUCUGGGUUUGAUCCGCAUCCAAGGGACUCUAUUUUGCACUGCCGAUGGCAAUAUUGGUGCUAAUGGCACAGCAACCCCUGUUUUCCCUAGUAUGCCAGCCCUGAUUUCUCCUCUUUUUCUUUUUUCUUUUUUCUUUUGAUCGAUAGUAAGGUAUCCUCGGACCAGAUUGUCAUGAUUACAUAGUUACCAUUCAUCACAUACGACAUCGUGGAAUGCAAUUCAAGAAAUCUUUGGUGUCAAAACCUUGAAAUCUGAGACCCCUUAAUAACGUGUGUGUGUGUCAGAUUAAUAUAUAAGAUCUGAAGAUUUCAAGAGUUGAUCUAGCUUUCGGGGUUGUCGGCCUUAAUAGCAAUCUUGUUAUAUAGAAAAAAAGAAAUAAAAAAGUUAAUGUCUAUUUUCACAAAUCAUAAAGUCUCACAAAUUGAAUGACUAAUCUAAUAAUAAUUACAGUUUGUUCUUCUUCUUAUCUUGCUUAUAAAGUUGUAAUUACAGUAACGAGUUUUUUCCUGCAGAUGCUCUCGUGCAGUUGCAAUGUGGAGGAAAUGUAGUUUCUACAUCAACCACCAAUGGAUCAGGGAUGUUUUCUAUUUUGUUGGAUCCUCUAAAUUAUAUUCUUUCCUCGAUAUUGAGCGACUGCAACCUGAAGGUCGAUACACCGCUGAUCAGCUGCAACUCCAGUCUCCCUGCUGUGGGUGGCCUCCUAUCACCCUUACAGUUCAUCGGGAACACUGCUCGAGGAGCCCUUUUGAGUGUUGCAAACAUUAUCCCUGCCGGAUUCCGAUUCGUGCCUUCAAAUUAAAGAGACCACUGUAGCUGAAGGCGACAUUAUUAUUAUUAUUCUGCCAUUGCUAUGUACUACUUUAUAUGAAUAAGGCUGUUUGUAUUAUUUGUGUGUACUGUGUAUUGUUUUUUCUUGCUUCCCAAGGAAUAAAGGCCAUGAUUGGCCAUGCAUCAUCUAUAUGUAAUAUUUAGCGAGUCUAAAUUAUGAGGGGCCUUACUAAAAAAAUGUAGCAAGUAAUUCG
Molecule: long non-coding RNA, 74847 nt
Filed under: Populus tremula
Lineage: Eukaryota; Viridiplantae; Streptophyta; Magnoliopsida; Malpighiales; Salicaceae
Description: long non-coding RNA (PTRE_LNC000543)
Rfam family: MIR2912 microRNA precursor family (bases 21540-21670)
Source: RNAcentral